Molecule: long non-coding RNA, 81585 nt
Filed under: Citrus maxima (pomelo)
Lineage: Eukaryota; Viridiplantae; Streptophyta; Magnoliopsida; Sapindales; Rutaceae
Description: long non-coding RNA (CMAX_LNC001375)
Source: RNAcentral
AUUAUUCUAGCUUGGUAGCUUAAUUUACUGAUUGAUUGGUUGAUAAUUAGGAUUUCUUGUUUUUUUUGCCCUAAAAGUUAGUUUAUAUAUAUUUUUAAUUUUAUUUUUUGAUAUUUGUGGGAAUAUUUGAUCUGGGUCGGCUUUUCCUCGUAAUUUGAAAUUGGUUUCUUUGCUUGAAUCGAUAUUUACUAGAACUUAGUUGUGGGUUCUCAGUUUUAGGGAUUUACGGGGCAUGGGUGAUCUGGGUGAUGUUUUGACCUAAUUUUGGAUUCUACUGAUUGAUUAUGAUGGUGGUGUGUUGUAAAAAAUUUUUUAUGGGAGGCUCAGUUUCGGGUGACUAAUGUUACAAAAUGACCUGGGUUUUAUCUUGUUUUUUGUUUUAGAUACUUGCAUUGUAGGAUUGUGGCUUCUAAUGAAAUAAAGUUGCUUUUUAUUUUAUGUCUAGGGUAUUAAUGGGGAUCUUUGGUUACAUUUGCACUUCGCCUGUUCAUGAUUGUGUAGGUUAAAAGUCAAUUGAGUGUUACAUAGUUUUGUGGGAGUUGUGUGGGGAAUUUUUAUGUUGCUUGUGUGUUUGGGGGUCUAUUUAGUGGUUUAGUUCUGAAGCCGGUAGGUGUCACAUUCUUAGGGAUGUCAUGGGGUUUUUAAUUUGCUUUUGUUUCGUGGAAGAUAUCGGUUUUAUCCCAUAACUAUGAUUAACAUGUAAAUUAUAUUGGAUGUAUGGUUUCCUUGUUGUUAGAGCCUUUUUGCAUACUUGUUUUUGGAGAUGAGAAUAUCUGUAUUUCUCCGUUAGCGCAUCUCUGUUGCCACUCUCUUGUUUAAGGAUAGAAUGACAGAAUUAUGUUAUUAGAGUUCUAUUUUAUGUUACCUUGACUUGGCUUUUUUGGACAUAGAAUAGAUCAAUUUUCCAUCCGCCAAAUUACUCAAAUUAAGUUUGGGUUUCACGCAUUUGGUAACAUUUGAUCUGAGGACUUUAGCCUGUUAUGCAUGUAUGGUUCCCCUCCUUUCUACUUUAUAUUUUGCAUGGUGCAUCGUGCCUUAAUUUUCUAUAGAUAGGUCAAUGUUUUCAUCAAACCUUUUGCCUUAUCUUUCUAUAAAUAGGUCAACGUUUACGUCAAACUUUCCACCUGCUUGAGUAGCCUGUAGCUUGAUUAAAUUGAAAAAUUUUGUGUAGCAGAAAUAUUGAAACUUUAUUGCUGCUUUUAAUCUCUGUUUUAUGCUUGGAAUAGGUUGAUCAUUUUACGAGGUUUGAAGUGGGUUGGAAGUUUCUUGUCAUAUGACUCUAGCCUUGUUGGCUGAGUUGGGAUGUUGCUUUGUAAUAGAAAUCAUUGUGGGAGUCUAUGCAUUUGUGUUAGACAUAGACAUGGCGCCUGGGUCUUGUGUCAAUAUUUUAUUAACAUACUUUAUCCUAUUCUAUUUCAGGGCUUUUGUUGUAAGGGAUCAUAUUUAUUUCUUUCAUUUCAUCUACCCUCAUUAAGUUAUUGAGGCUUUUGAGAUUGAGUUAGCACUGACUUUAUAUCAAAUCUGAGACUUAUCAAGAAACGAUCAAAUUAGGUCUCUACUGAAGAGUUAAAUAUCUGAUAAUGGUCGGUGAUAACAUAGUCAUCUUGAGAAUAUUUGCAAAGCAUUUGGUAUUGACUAGAUGGCGUUGGUCAGUAUGUAGCAAGUUUUGAACUCAGUCUCCAGUGUUGUGCUUGGAGGCUUCAGUUACCAAAUUUGUUCAUGUCAAUUAGAUGUUGAGCUGGAGAUAAUUUUAAUUGAAAACAAUUUUUUGCUAGUAGGCUUUCUGGAAUACAUGUAGAGGCUCGAGUUUCUAGGUUUUGUUUGCGUAGAGGGAGGGAUGACAAUCUUGUCUGCAGAAUAGGCAGCCUUUUUGUUUGCCCUGCUGCUCUCUAAAAUAUCUUUACUGCUGAGAACCUAACCAAGAGGAGGGAGGAUUGUUGAGAACUACUGCUAUAUGGUUUAGUGAAAUAGUGGAAGUUUGUUGAUCAAUUGUUGUUUUCAUUGUGAGAUUGUUUGAACGAUUUGGACGCAAUCUUUUCUUUGUUUGGCCUGGGAUGGAGUUUUUGUGUUGUGGAGGUUGUUGGCACUGUUAUCUGUGGUGAUAACACAGAAAUGUAGCUUGGAAGACUGCUCCUAUUUGAUUGAGUUAGUGGUUUGGAAUGAAAGGAGUGGCUGACCUUUGAGAGUAUCUUCAAUCGUUAUCAUGACUUGAAUCUGACUUAUUAGAAGUUUAUUUGGCUCUUUGGAAGGCUUCACUAUUUGGUUCUUUGGCAGCGUCCCCUUUCCUUUGGCCACUUGUAUUGUUGAUUUUCUUAGAAUUUCUCUUUCCUUAAGUUUUCCUUUCCUUGUCGCUCCGCACUCACGAUUUUUAGAGGGCACUGAAAUUGAAAAUUAUCUUUACCUGUCCAUGUUAUUUUUUAUCUGCUGUUACUUUCAUUAUGUGACUUAGUCUUGUAAUCUGACAAAUAGGAUUAAAAAAAAUGUGCAGGCUCGAAUUAAAAAGAUAAUGCAAGCUGAUGAGGAUGUUGGGAAGAUAGCAUUGGCUGUCCCUGUUCUAGUUUGUAAGUAGCCGUGGCUGCUUGGCCUUAUUUUCUUGCAACAUCAAUGCUUUUGUGUUAUUUAUUCUCUUUUUGGGUAUUCUUGUAGCAAAAGCUUUGGAAUUAUUUUUGCAAGACCUUUGUGAUCGUACAUAUGAGAUAACCCUUCAGAGAGGAGCAAAGACAAUGAGUUCCUUGCAUUUGUAAGUGUCAAUAACCUUCCUUUGCUCAAUUCUUUUCUUCUUUAGCUGUAAAUGUGAUUAAUAUGUGAACUUGAAGUUGGACUCUGUAUUUCAAGAUGUUCUCGUCAGUAUCAAUUGUUAGGUUCUUGGGGAUUGUUACAUUCCCCUUUGUUUUGUACGAGCAACUUUAGAUUAAUAGAGGGACUAAUUAAAUAUAGACUUCAAUUGUUAUGUAGUUGCCGGGGAAAAAAAAAAAUGUAGUUGCUGAAUAAAUCAUCGAUCGAGGUAUAUGAUCUAAAGCUUUUGCCUUAAUGUUAGGUGUAGCAGAAUAAUAAGUUGUGUAAGGCAAAUUACAGAUUAAUACUUUUGUUUAAUUCUUGAGUUUCAGGUAAAAGGAAAUGUUUAUACAAUUGUCCACAUGGCAAAGAAUCUUCUGUAGAUAAAUUGCAUUUAAAAGUACGCGUUUAUCCUUUUUGCUUCUACUUUUAAAUUCCUGAAGAAUUACUUACCUGCUAGACCAUUGAAAUUUGUGAAAAUAUGGUUAAAAAAAAUGGCCUACUAACUGUGAUUGUUUCUCAGAACUAAAUUAUCAUUAAAGGUCAGUUUCUGGUGUGUAUGGUUCCACUAUGCCUAGAUGUCUUGGUCACUUGUAUCAAAGCUGAGUGCAUGAGAAGUAUUCUGAUUCUUGCAUAUGUUUGACUGAGGAGGUAACUAUAGUUGGUGUUUUUUGUUUCACUGGAUGUUAUGUCGUGAAUCAUGAAUUGUUUGAGGUCUUUUUUACACAUAUAAAUGACUUCUUAUUGUGUCAUGCAAUGUAACUUACCCAGAAUUAGAAAAUUGGUAAAGUAGAAAAGAAGAGACUAGAUUUGAUCUUAGCUUUCUCUGACAAACAUUUGUGAGUUUUUCCUUCAUAAGAAUUAUCAAUAUGUUUGAUAAUAGCACCUACCAGCCAAAAGUAUGAUAAGAUAACUGAGUCAAUUUGAUAAUUAACCAUAGGAAGUGGUUCUUUAUUUGAGAAAUGUGCAUAUCGAGCUGGUAAUAUAUUUGAGAUUGAUAGCGCAGCAUGUUAAUGUUGUUUGAUGGAAUCAAUAAUAUUCAUGAAGUUAAUCUGAGCAAUGCAAAAAGCUUGAAGUCAGAUGCCUUGGAUAAUGAAUUAAUUAAUGUUUUUUUUUUAAGUUAUCUUCCAAGACUCUUUUAUCUGAUUUGAGUCAUUUGUCUCUGGUUUAUGUCUGCUUGUGAUCAACAAUUCUUCAUUUUGCUUCAAUGUUUCAGAGUAUGAUCGAAGCCUGUAUAAUGAGAUUCAAUUAAACUAGGCAUAGUUCUUCAUAGUUAUACCGUAUGAAGAAUCUGUCUAAUAUUAAAUGGCGGGCAGUAGUCAACUUUUCUUAGCAUGCUUUGUCCUUGCUAGGGCAACUUAACAUGGUAUCAGAGCUAAAUUGACUUAAUCUUGUGUUCAGUCUCCUUGUUGAAUUAAUUAAUUUAUGAAAUUGGGGAAUGGUAAAAUUGUGCCAGCCACUUAAAAGAAAGUGAUGGAGAAAUUGUGUAAGACUGGCAGCCUCAAAGCUGUAAGAAUUCAGGAGUAUUUGGGGACUAUAUAUAUGAAGAGAAAACCUCUUAUUAGUGGAAAGCAGUUUACAAAUAGAGGAUGUGUGUUGAGGCAACAUUAUUAUGGCCCCGCUUGCUACUACGGUGCGGUAGCUUUUAAGCCACAGCUGCUGUAGAAAAAAUGCUGCUUUUAAAUACUAAUUUUUACAAAAGUAGCAAAUAUAUUGUAGAUUUUUCAUCAUGACUGUAGGAUCAAAUCAACAUAGCUUCCAAGUCAUAGCAGCCACUGUUUACCAAACAAUUAAGAUUUUAAAAGAGUGUUUUAAGUGAAAUUGAGCGUGCAAAUAAGUGUUCAAAGUAGAUUUUGAGUACAAAUAAUCCACCCAUAAAAAUAUCAUGCACUACAAGAUGAGUGACAUUGCUCACUACAAAUUAAAAAAAAAAAUCAUAUAUUCAUGAGAAAUAUUAAUAUAGGCAUACCAAAUAGUCUCUCGAAACUACUAUAAGAUUUUCUUUGUUCAUUCGAAUUCUUUCUUAAUCAUUUGGGGAAAUAGGAGAGUCUGUUUAUUUAUUUGAUUUGAUUUGAUUAAUUAUUUUGAUAGAAAUUAUAUUAAAUUAUAUAGAGACAGUGAUGGGUUUUCCUUGCUUGUAAUGUUUGACAGGCUAACAGCAAGAAAAGCUUACACAAUUAAAUCGCAAAAUAAGUGCGCUUCUAUAAUUUGUUUACUAUUUUAUGAACAAAAGAAGAAAAAGAAAAAAUUCCAAAGUUAAAAUCUUCUAUGCGCUGAAGGAAAGAGAAAUGACAAUUUGUACGAACAACAGAGCUUUUGAAGUGGAGUCUACCUACUGUGUGACCCAAAAAAGCCGUAUCUGGAUUUAAUAAACAAAAGCACUUUUAAAGUUACAAAUUACUGACGAGAAUGAGACCCUAAAAUUGAGAACAUAGAAGAGAGAGUACUUUCAAGUCUCAAUUAAAAUGUAGAGAAAAAGAAAAGAAAAAAUUGUGCUUGUAAUAGAGCUCAUCUCUCAAGCCAACAUUUCUAGCUAGCAAAGGAUGGAAGGAAUGAUUUUAGAUAAUAUAUUUUCAAUAAAUGAAAUUUUUUUUUCCAGUUUGAUGAUUGCAAAUAACAUUCUUUACUUCCACUCUUUAGUAUUAUUAUUAUUAUUAUUAUUUUUAAAAUUUAACUCUUUAAUUCAUGUUCUUGUUCUCGCGAAUGUGUUUAGUCAAUUUCGUGAUCAUCUCAUCAAAUCCCUAACGUUAACAUAACCAUAAUCUAUUAAUGAAAUUUAUUUAUUUUCUAUAAUAAUAAUCAAAAUGAAUAUUUGUUCAUGUAAUUUUAUGAUGAUGAGUUAUCAUUUUUUCUGUUAUACAUAAAAACAAUUUGUAAAUAAUGGCCACGUUGAACUAAUAACGCAACAACGCUUGUGGGAACAAAUUGAAUAAUAAAAAAUUUAAAGCAGCGAUUUGGCAAUACAAAAUUGAAGAACAGAAAAAUUAAAAAUGAAAAGGUAAGUAACCCUAAACUAUCUGUGGUGGCCCACUAACAAAGCUCUAAAGAGCUAUCACUUUAUCUUGACUUAUCAAUUAUUUACUAAUAGGUUCAUUUUUGUUGCACGCCCUCUUGAUAGAGUCAAAAUUUUACCUCGCCAUGCUCUUAAGUUUUUGAUAUUUUACCGUGUGAGAUUAUCAGGAGGGGAAAAUUUCAAAGUACUUCCCUGCACACACGGUAAAAUCUCAAAGACUUGAGAGCAUGACGAGGUAAAAUUUUGACUCCAUCAAGAGGGCAUGCAGCAAAAAUGAACCCAUUAGUAAAUAAUUAAUAAGUCAAGAUAAAGUGAUAGCUGUUUAGAGUUUUGUUGGUGGGCCACUACAGACAGUUUAGGGUUACUUACCUUUUCUGUUCUUCGAUUUUGUAUUGCCAAAUCACUGCUUUAAAUUUUUUGUUAUUCAAUUUGUUCCCACAAGCGUUGUUGCGUUAUUAGUUCCACGUGGCCAUUAUUUACAAAUUGUUUUUAUGUAGAACAGAAAAAAUGAUAACUCAUCGUCAUAAAAUUACAUGAACAAAUAUUCAUUUUUAUUAUUAUUAUAGAAAAUAAAUAAAUUUCAUAAAUAGAUCAUGGUUAUGUUAAUGUUAGGGAUUUGAUGAGAUGAUCACGUAAUUGACUAAACACAUUCGCGAGAACAUGAAUUAAUGAGUUAAAUUUUUUUUAAAAUAAUAAUAAUAAAGAGUGGAAGUAAAGAAUGUUAUUUGCAAUCAUCAAACUGAACAAAAAAAAAAUUCAUUUGUUGGAAAUAUAUGAUCUAAAAUCCUUCCUUCCAUCCUUUGCUAGCUAGAAAUGUUGGCUUGAGAGAUGAGCUCUAUUACAAGCACAAUUUUUUCUUUUUCUUUUUCUCUACAUUUUAAUUGAGACUUGAAAGUACUCUCUCUUCUAUGUUCUCAGUUUUAGGGUCCCAUUCUCGUCAGUAAUUUGUAACUUUAAAAGCGAUUUUGUUUAUGAAAUCCAGAUACGGCUCUUUGGGUCACACAGUAGGUGAACUCCACUUCAAAAGCUCUGUAGUUUGUACAAUUUGUCAUUUCUCUUUCCUUCAGCGCAUAGAAGAUUUUAACUUUGGAAUUUUUCCUUUUUCUUAUUUCGUUCAUAAAAUAGUAAAUAAAUUAUAGAAGCACACUUAUUUUGCGAUUUAAUUGUGUAAGCUUUUCUUGCUGUUAGCCUGUCAACCAUUACAAGCAAGGAAAACCCAUUAGUGUCUCUAUAUAAUUUAAUAUAAUUUCUAUCAAAAUAAUUAAUUAAAUCAAAUCAAAUAAAUAAACAGCUCCUCCUAUUUCUCCAAAUGAUUAAGAAAGAAUUCGAAUGAACUAAGAAAAUCUUAUGGUAGUUUCGAGAGACUAUUUGGUAUGCCUAUAUUAAUAUUUCUCAUGAAUAUAUGAUUUAUUUAUUUUUAAUUUGUAGUGAGCAAUGCCACUCAUCUUGUGGUGCAUGAUAUUUUUAUGGGUGGAUUAUUUGUACUCUAAAAAUCUACAUUGAACACUUAUUUGCUUUGCACGCUCAAUUGAUAAUAUAAAAAUAUAAGUUUUCACUUAACACCCUCUUUCAAAUUCCUAUAUUGUUCCCAUUCACUACUAAAAAGCAUUGAUUUAUGAUAGAUAUCGUUGCGUCACGAAUCCAUCGUAGAAGCAUAAUAUUUUUGUGACAUAUAAAAUAUAUAUCAAGAAUUUAUGACAUAUUUGUGACUCAUAGCUUAAUGAUAUAAGCCGAUGAUAGAUAAGAGUCAUGCUUGAAUUUACUAUUAUUACCAAAUUAAAACGACACAUUUAAAUUCAUGACAGAUAUCGUCGUUUGAUGAGCAUGGUAGAUAUCAUGAAUUGAAAUGGUGCAAUUUUUAUAAGCUAGUUAUUUUAUUUUUUAAAGUCUUAAGGGCUUGUUUGGGUUAGCUUUUACUUCUACUUAAAAGUAAAAGAUAAGUAAAAGCAUCGUUGUCUUUGCUUUUUCAACCUUGGGUAAUAAACAGGAAACAAGGGCUUAUUCAAAAUUACUCACCCAUCAAUCACUUAAUUAAAAUAGACCAAUUGGCCACUAACCAUUUUCUUGUUCACUACAUUUUGUAAGAAAUAAACAAUUCAGUUUGUUUAGCUGAACAUAGAAUGGCACCCACCAUGCAGUCAUGAGGUUCUGUUUUAUAUAUAAUGAACCAUCUCUGAUCAGUACGAGGUUUGUAAAAAUUUAUCAGGAUGCUAUCUGGUCCUUGAGUAAAAAGAGCUAGUCAUCAUCAGAACUAGAUUCUAGAAUUUUUGGGGUCAAGUUCAUACUUAUUUGAUUGGCACAUUUCUUAUCAGAAAAAAGGAUGUGAGAGUAAUAAAGAUAAUGAUAAUGGCAGAGUAAUAACAAUAAAAUGUUAUGCAAAAUCAUAUUUAUCUAAAUGACAAGUGAAACUGAAUAUGAUAGGUAAGAUUCCCUGGCCAAUAAUGAACCAAGGUUAUAUUUUUUAUGUUUUAUGUCAUUAGUCUCUUAUGCUUCUUAUAUGUAUAACAUUCAGCUAUGUUGGUAUUAUCAUAUCUCUUUUGGGGAGAGAAGUGAUAUAGAUGCACUAUUAAUGUAGGAAACUAUUAUAGUAAAAAUAUUGUAGUUUAAUUAAACUUUUUAUGUAACUUUAUCUAGCAAUAUAACUAUGACUAUAGAAAGCAAAAAGUUUAUAAACAUUUUAAAUAAUAUGCUUGAAAAAUCAAAUAUUUAUAAUAUUACCUCUCAAAAUACCAUGCAAGAGUACCAGUAACAAUAGUGGUGAACAUGAAUGAGUGAGCCACAAGUAUGGCUAAAUGCAUCAUGUUGUUGCCCCAGCUACUUAAGUAUGUCUGCACCAGCUGCAGAAAGUAAACUUUUUAUCUGUCCAAAAUCUUUUUGUCAUAAUGAUAGUAUACUUUUUGCGAUUGGCACGGACAUACUUGAGCAGUUGAUGGGCAACAACAGGAUGCAUUUGGCCAUACCGAUGGCUCACCCUUUCACGAUCGCCACCGCUGUUACUAGUACUUUUGCAUGGCAUUCCGAGAGGUAAUAUUAUAGACUAUUUGAUGUUUCAAGCAUAAUGUUUUUAACACCGUUUAAAACGUUUAUAAAGCUUUUUCUUUUUGCCGUGAUAGUUAUAUUGCUAGAUCAAAUUACACAAAGAAUUUAAUUAGAUUAUAAUAUUUUUACUAUAAUGGAUUCCUACAUUAAUAGUGUAUCUAUAUCACUUCUCUCCUCAAAGGAGCUAUGAUAAUACCAAUAUAGUUGAAUAUUAUACAUAUAAGAAGCAUGAGAGACUAAUAGUAUAUGAAACAUCAAAAAUAUAUCGUUGGGUCGUUGUUGGCCAAGAGGUCUUAUCUAUUAUAUUUAGUUUCAUUUGUCAUUUAGAUAAAUAUAAUUAUGCGUAACAUUUUAUUGUUAUGCAAUGUAUUUGUAAUUUCUUGUAAGUAACGGGACUUAUUUUGUUAUUAUGUUGGCAGACUCAUUUAAAUCAUCAAUUUCCACUUCUGUUGACUAAUACAGCUAUUAUCGGUUUCUUUGCAGCAAUCCAUGUUUGUUUGCAAUUUAUGAGCAAAAAGAUUUGGGCAACUGGAUAUUGAGCUUCAACAUUAGAUUGUUAGCAGUUAUCAUGUCGGUAAGUCUUUUAUAAUCAUAUACUUAGCUAAUAUAAAAAAAAAUUAAUCGUAAUGUGAGAUAUUUUAUAUAUAUAUACCUAGGUAUUUUGGCUUCUAGUUUGAACACUGUGUAUGCAUGUUGGUGACGAGAACUCUUAUUUUGUAGCAAUAUUUAGCCUCUUCAGCAAGUUUUUUAAAUCGUCGUAGCUAUUUAUUUCGUAUCUAAAUAGGUAACAAUUUCUUUUUUCUUUUUUUUUUCCUUUUCCUUCUGUAAGGAACAUCUAAUAUUUGAAUUUAUCUUCAUUUUUCAUGGCUAGAAAUUUUGAGUUUCAGCCUAGUAGUUGGAUUGGUAAUUGUUGGCGUGAUGUUUGUCUUUCUAUGGGCAGAUAAAAAGGGAACCAAAAAAAAAAAAAGACAAGAACAAGUAGUUGAAUAUAUAGAGCUAGCUAGAGAUAAAAUUGAACCAGCAGGAGAAGCUAUUGGAGAGAUGACAGAGAUAUUAUAAUUUUCUUAUUUUAUUUUAAUCGUAUUGGAAUUUGCUAUGAGGAUACUUUAUCUUUGAUUCUCGGUAUUAAAAAAAUUCAAUAUAUUUAUUGUUGUUAUAUAUUAUAAACUUUUCUAUUCUAAUUGAUAUAGUUUAAUUGAUUUAUUUGACAUUUGCAGCUUUAGUAUCCUUGAAAUUGCAUUUGAGUAUUGAGAGACUUGAGUUCGAAGAUGAAAAUUGGUGUGUAAUGUGAUUUUUUUAUAUCUACUCGAAUUAGAAACUUAAAAGUUUGGGCCAAUUUGAGAAGAAGGCUUGUUUAUGCUAAUUCAUCACAGCUUCUCCAGUAACCGACAACAAAACUAACAAGGUGAAAAUCAAAUCUUAUCGCUAUAAGAUUGCUGAUUUAAUUUGAAUAAGUUUUUAAGUGUCCUUAGUAGCUUGUUAUUGCUAAAAAAAUCACAAGAAAAUGAUUGCAUGUAAACUAUAGGGUUAUCUAAUUUCUAUGUACUGUAAUUAGUAACCAAAAUAAUUUUUCCGUCUAAAUUAUUACUACCAGAGACUUACAGAUGUCGUCAACUUAGUUCACUUUUUAUUUUUCUAUUUUCAGUUUGUUUGAUGUGGUGAAAAUAAUGAUAUAACCACAAACUCUUGUACAAAUUUAUUUUGUACAAAUUGAUGUAGCAUGAUAAAAUUGGUUGAAUUAAAUAUUUUUUUGCCCACAUAAUUUAUUUAUAUUAUUUCAUGAUUUAUUUAUAUUAUUUUAUAUUUUCAUUCAACUAAUGAAUUAAUAACACGUUAGUUUGUAUAAGAUAAAUUUGUAAAAGAAUUUAUGGAUGUAUCAUCACUCUUAUAAAUAUUAGCAUACUAAGGAACAAUUGGAAAACUAAAAAAGUUUACACUUACGGUUUUGUAUGACAUGAGGUUGAAGUUGUAUAAAAUAUCAUCAUUUGUUCCAUUGAGCCUUGUGUUUGAAAAUUGUGUUACUUUCUGGUGUAAUCUGAGCUUGACUGUGCGUGAUAAUUAUUUUUUUUUAAAGGGUGAUCCUAAGUUACGUUAAACGUAACUUACAUUUUUUGUCUUUUCUUUCAUGGCAAAGUUCAUAUGAGUCCUUUUAUUUUUAAUUUUUUUUAUAAUUGUGGAUGUAUUUAUCUCCUUCCAUCAAUUAUACAUAUGUUCUUCAUUCUUUCUAAAGUUCUUUUUAUUUCUUUAAAUAAUAGUAUAUGAUUAUCGAAUUCAUACAAAUUCAUGAAUUCAGAAUAAAUUUCUGGUCCUAAAUUUAUUACUCCUAUUCGUUCUUGCUCUAAUAAAUCUAUCUUUUGAUUUAUUAAAUUUAUGUAAGUUGUUAUUCUAUCUUCCCAUCCUAGAUUCAUACGAUCUAUGGCUUCAGCUAAUUCAUUUAUUACAUUAAAUGCAUGUUGAUUCAUGGUAAUGCUUCUUUUUUAUACCAGUAUACUAAAAAUUUUAUAAAUUCAUUUAUAAAUUUCAUUUUCUUUUCUAUCAAAAUUUCUCCUCCUAAGGUGUCUAUGGAUCUUUCUUGCAAUUCUUGGGUUAAUUCAAGAUCAAUAUUUCUAAUGUUAUUUUUCUCUGUCUUUAUGGAUGUUAUCAAAGUUUUUAUUUCCUCUUUGUCAAAUACCUUUAAGUUGUAUAAGUUGUCACAGAUGCCUUUUAUUGGAUCCAUUUUUUUAUAUAUUAGUUCUAGAAUUUUUAUGAUUCUUUUCGGACUCUUAUGGCUUUGAUACCAUUUUGGGUGUGUGUAUUUAAACAGAAAAUAACUGAAAUUAAAAAUUAAAUAAAAAUAAUGAAAUUAAAAACGGCUACUGAGAAAGUAAAAAUGUCAAUAUUAUUAAAAUAGAUUUACAAGUUUUAAUUCUAGUGUUUAUUAUUAAAUUAAAUCAAACAGAAGUACGUGGCUUGUUGACCAUCAGUGCGGACCAGACUAGUGCCCAUUCGGGUUCACCUCUGGAACUUAUGUCGAUGGAUUCCCGCCUAUAUACCUCUUUAUAUUUUUCAAGUUGUAUGUCCAGUUCUUCAUUAUCUAAAUUUUCUAUAUCUGUUAUGUAAGAUGGUCCUAUUCCUAGACUUUCAUGUUCCAUAUAUGCUAAGGCUAUGUCAAUUGCUUGUUCUACAGUUAACAUGAUUAUGUUAUGUUUUAGAUUCUCUAUUUCGAUAUGAUUUAUAAUUUUUCGUUUUAUUUCUUGUGGUAGAUUAAGACUAUAUACUACUUGUAAGUCUUAUGUUCUAACAAGUUCUUGUUUACUAACAAGAUAUGAGCCCUGUCUAAAUGAUCCUAAGUUAAAAUCUAUUAUCAUCAUAUAAUUAUUAUAUGUUAUUCUAGUUGUUGGGUUUACCAUAUAUUUUUUAGAUUUUCCUAACAAAAUAUAGUUAUUCAUGUUGAAUCAAUUUAUUCAAAGAGUUUCACUUAUGAGAAUUUGCUAUUCCUCCAUAAAUCUCUUCAUCAUCAAUCAUCAACAAACUUCCACCAACCGAUAAAGAUUGAGAAUUAUUACCUAAGUUAUUCUUGUUUCUUUACCUUUCGAUCAUUCUCCAGUGACCUGCAGCCUGGUUGUCCUUAUUCCCUCAACGACCUCCUUGCCUCAACGGGAUCAGCGGACUCGAGCGGCCUUACUGUAUGGAUCUCGAUCGUUGUGCUUAGAAACGUUGAAUAAUUUUAGGUUUCUCUUUCCUUUCUGUGGUGUUUAUUUGUUCUGAUCAGUGAUGUAUUGAUUUAGGAUUUAGAGCAGGGGAGUGGUUUAGCUGUUCAUUGUUUCAAAGAGUUUUUUGAACUGUAGAAAGUGAUUGAGUUCUGGUCAUGAUAAGCUCUGAGAGCCUUAUCUCCUUUCUCCUUUAUUUAUAUCAAAAUUGUUUAUCUUUUACAAUUACAUUACUGCCCCUUUUUUAUUGGGCUCUUACAUCAUUCCUUACGUAACUACAUUUUUACAUCUUUUAUUUCAAACCACGUGUCUUCUUUGAUUAUCACGAGCCUUUGUUUUAUUCUUCUUUUUUCUUUGGCAAUCACGUGCCUCUGCUUUAUCUUUUUAUCUUGUCGGGCAUCUCUAUUAUUUUAUCUGCCAUGAGCAUCUUCUAUCAGCAUCUUUAUUUUGUCUGCCACGAGCAUUUUCUAUCAGCAUCUUUUAUCUUUCUAUCUCUUCUGUCUGCUACGCGUGUUACUUCUUUUUACUUGUUUGGAUGGCUCAUCUCCAUGAGCUGACAAGCCUGCUGCAUGGUUUCACUGCUACUGAGGAAACGCAUAGUGCUUAUGUCAUUUAUUAGCUCCAGCAGGAUAUUUGAUUGUGUAUGGUUGUCUUCUGCUGUCACGAGUAUAUAGUUCUGGAAUCUGAUGAUGGUUCUGAAAUUUCUUUUAUACAAAUCCUUUGCUAUGCUCCAUAUGGCUUUUAUUCCUCUGGCUCUUCGGGUUCGGAUCCAGGCUUUGUUUAUCUGAGGAACUUCUGUGUAUUCAGUUCCUACUUCUACUUUAAAUUUUUUUGUGAGAUGACCUACGGAUAUCAUAUAAAAGGCUUGGUAUUCUAUAUUUUGGUGGUAUUCUGGACUUAUGGUGUAGAAUUUAAGGUAUAUAGGUUUUUUCUGGACAAAUCUUGACACUUCUUUGACUAACAAUUCAUUCAAGCUGGCUAUUUCUCGGAGGUCUAUGUCAGGAUAUACUAAGUCUAGGUAACCAUAUCGGGCUAUUUUCCCAACAAGGAGUGGGUCUGCUCCUUUUGUGGCUAUCAUUCUAGAAUACAUAUUUUUUUCAGGUGCUUUAUAAAUAUUACUGUUAUAGGAACAGGUGGAGUAUACCCAUGUAGAGAACUGUUUAUACUCUUCUUCUUUUAGGUUUAAAAGCUCUGUCUCUUCUUCGGUAUAGGGACUGUUUAUCUAGAUAAACUUUCUUGUUUUUGUAGGGCUUGAUUUUGGUGGAUCUAUUUCUAUGGUUAUGGUUUGGCUAGGACCAGGAAUUGGAUCAGAGAUUGGUUUAUUUUCUCUGAUGGGUCCACUACUGCUUCCUUCACCUUUCGGGCUGGUGUUUAUUGACACAACAUUUAUGGGGCCUUUGUUUAUUGAGAGUGCUUUUGUCAGAUCGUUUAUGUAUGAUACUAACAAAUGUACUCCAUUUUCAUGGGCUUGUGAAGCCUCUUUUAUAUAGUUUAUGGUAUCAAUUAUGUCUGAUGCUUCUGUUGCCAGUCUAUGUAAUUCGGCAUCUAUUCCAGAGAGGAUCUUAUUUAUUUCUGGAUCCAUCUCCAAAUUCUAUGUUCCUGCUUAAGAAAUCUGCAAGGAAAUUGUUAGUUCCCUUUAUGUGUAUAAUUUUGAAAUUAUAAUAUGACAAAUAUGCUUGCCAUCUGUGUAAUCUUCUAUACUGGGGUUCAUUUGGCAAAAUCUUGCUUAUUAAUGAGCUUACUUGAGAAUUAUAUGUUUCUAUAAUAAAUGGCUUUUGUAAUAAAAAUAAUGAGAACUUUUUAAUUCUUUUAUAUAUUGCAAGGAGUUCUUUUUCAUGUACAGGGUAAUUAACCUGUGCUUGGUUAAAUGUACCACUAGUAUACCUACAAAUUUUGUUUAUAUCUAUUUUAAGUAUAGCUCCCCAAUGCAGGUCAGAUGCAUCGGUUUGUACUACUAGUCUAUCAGUUUCUUCUGGUAAUCUUAAUGAAGGGAGAUUCUUACAUUCUUCUUUUAAACUUUUUACAGUCUUUGUAUGUUCUAUGUUCCAUCCUCUGGUAUUAUUUUUCCUAAGUAAUUUUUGAAGUAUAUUUCUUUUCUUUGCUAAGUCUUUUAUGAAUCCUUCAGCAUAAUUUAAACAACCUAAGAAAUUUUAUAUUUGCUGUUUAUUCUCUAAUUUAUCUGGGAAUUCACUAAUCUUUCUGCCUAUGUGACUCUGGAGUCUGAUUCCUUGUCUAUCCAUAAUCAUUCCCAAAAAUUCUAUUUUCUUAUGUUCUAUUACUGCCUUCCUUUCUGACAAUACUAUUCCUUCUCUAAUACAAACAUUCACAAAUUCUUUCAAAUAUUUUCUAUGGUCUUCUAAUGUUUCUGAUGCUAUUAAUAUAUCAUCUACAUAUACUAUUAUGUAUUUAUAAUCCUUAAAUAUUUUAUCCAUUCUACUUUGGAAAAUUUGAGGGGUAUUUUUUAAUCCGAAAGGCAUUACUAGUCAUUCAUAAUGAUCUUGUGGAGUACUAAAUGUUGUAUAAGGAAUACUAUGUUCUUCCAUUUUUAUCUGCCAAAAUCCUGAUAUACAUUCAAAUUUUGAAUAAUAAGUUUUAUUCUUCACAAGAUUUAUCAGUACUUCUUUAUUUGGUAAAAAAUAUCCAUCAAAUUUUAUGUAUUUAUUUAGUUCUUCAUAAUUUAUUACCAUUCUAGCCUUUCCUCUAACUUGUUCUGCUCUCUUUCUAACUAUAAAAGCUGAACUAUUAUGUGGACUAUUACUAUUUCUUAUUAGGUUUAAAUUUAAUAAUUCUUUUAUCUGGAUUUUAACCUCUUCCCUAUCUUCCUCUGUAAUCAUCAUUGGUUUAAGUCUUAUAAUUCUAUUUUCUAUUAAUUCAAUCUUUGCUCUAGGGUGAUCUGGUUUCCACAAUGCUAACGGAUUUUCUUUAUAAACUUGUUCAAGUUGAGAUUUUAUUGUUUCUAAUUGUAUAUUAUAGUUUUUUCCUUUAGAAAUAAAAAAAUAUUUUUCAUAAAUUAGACUAUCAUCACGCUAGGCUGGCUGAACUCUGUAAGGUUUAAAUUCGCGCGGAAUACGAAGGAUAUGGUUACAAGGGGUUUUAAGAGUGAUCAUAUAAGGAGUUUGUUGGUAAUAUUGAAAUUGUUGGAGAAAAUCAUUUCCUAAAAGGAUAUCACAAUUCAUUUGGUCAUAUUGAAAGAUGUGGUUUAUUCGUACAAUUUUACUUCCUAAAAGAAUUUCAAAAUUUAAUAAGGAUUGAUUGAUUUGUUGUUUAUCCCCUGUUAUACCUACAAGUUUUAUUUUGCCAUUUGGUUUCCAUUGAUUCGAUAAAAAAGUUUUCAUAAUUGUAAUUUCACUCCCUGUGUCUAUCAAGGCACAAUUAUUUAAGUCUUUUUCUAUUAUAUUUAUUUGUAUAUAAACAGACAUAGGAUAUUUUAUAUAAGUUUGUUUUAAUAUGUUUCACAAACUAUUUUUUGUCCUUCUAUUUGUAAUGUUGUUUGAUAUUUUUCAAUUUUAUAGUAUUCCAAACUAUUUAGGAAAUUAUUUCCUAGUACUAUAUGUUUUUCUGGAUCUGUAGUCAUAAAAGAAUUUGUGUAACAGGAUAUGAUUAUUCGUACUCCUUCAAUUAUUAGUGGAAUUUUUACUUCUUGUUUACAUAUAUGUUUAUUGCCAUUAAAGUCAGUGUAUUCAUAUGGAAGUCCUUUAUUUUUAGUAUGAUUCAUAUAAUUAUGACUUGUUCCUGUGUCUACUAAAAUGGGUAUCUUGGUUGUAUAAUCUAUUCCAUUAAAAUAUUGGCCAAGUAUUUUUAAUACGUUACUAGUCAUUAUAGGUCUAGCUAUUUAUUUAUCUAUGUUAACUAAUUGUUUAUCAGUAUUUAGCCUUCUGGAUGAACUUCCUCUUAUUAGAGUUCUUCCUGCAAAACUUAUAGGGAUUAUAGAGUUUUCAUUAUUGUCAUUUAAAAACUGUUUUUUGUCAUCUAUGUUUAGCUCAUAAGUUAUGGGGAUUUUAUAAUCCUGAAUGACAGGUUCUAUAAGAGUUGCUAUGUCUUCACAUUCUUUAUUUAUUUCUAUGUAGGGUUUGUUUCCAUAGAUUUCUCCAUAAUUUGAAUUACAAAAACUAUAUAAUGCAGAGUAGUGUAUGGUCAUUAGUCUAUUUCCUUCUUUCAUCAGGUUCUUUUUUAAUAAUUUAAAGUGUAAACUUAAUGUCUCAUCUAUGUUUUUAUCUUUUAUAUGUACACAAUAUUUAGGGUGACAUGUAAAUAGUAGUUUGGUAUAACAUAAGUUUUCUUCUACUGUUCCUAGAUGUCCUAUGCUAGGAUCAUGGAACCGUUGAUCAUGUAUUGACAAAACUAUUGGGCUAUCUACUCCUUCUUUGAAAAGUGAUUUUAUUAAAAUCUGAAUUUCAGCUAAAUAUACGUAUUGUAUUUUUUCUCUUGUUGAUUCAUUUUUUAUUUUUCUUAAAGCUAAGUCAAUUGUUCUUUUAUUUAUCAAGCUGAAUCUAAUAUUUCCUUCAGCUUGCGUUAUAGUUACAACUUUUCUUGUUCAUAAUAUUCAUGUAGUACUAUUCUUUUUCUUUUAAACAUAUCCCUUAGUUUUUGUAGUAUUUCGUAUUCUGGUUUUUCUACAUUCAAUUUUAAGAGUUUAUUAUAUUUUUCUUUAUUAAAGGUAGCUACAAGACUAUAUCCACUUUUAUUUUCUUCUCUUUCUAUUUCCUCAAUUUCUUCUAUAUCUUCUUCCUUUUCUACUAAGUCUUGUCUAUUCUGACUCAUUUUCAGAAUCUUCUACCAUAUAAAUUUAUGCUCCUUCAUAAUCAUAUAUAUUGCUUAUUUCUUCUAACUCGUCUUGUAUUGUUUUAAAGUCUUCUUGUAAUAUUCUAACUUUUUUGUUUUUGGUACAAUCUGUACUAAUACUGAUAAACAAUUAGUUAACAUAGAUAAACAAAUAGCUAGACCUAUAAUGACUAGUAACGUAGUAAAAAUACUUGGCCAAUAUUUUAAUGGAAUAGAUUAUACAACCAAGAUACCCAUUUUAGUAGACACAGGAACAAGUCAUAAUUAUAUGAAUCAUACUAAAAAUAAAGGACUCUUAAUAAAAGAGAAAGAAAUUCCAUAUGAAUACACUGACUUUAAUGGCAAUAAACAUAUAUGUAAACAAGAAGUAAAAGUUCCACUAAUAAUUGAAGGAGUACGAAUAAUCAUAUCCUGUUACAUAGAUUCUUUUAUGACUACAGAUCCAGAAAAACAUAUAGUACUAGGAAAUAGUUUCCUAAAUAGUUUGGAAUACUAUAAAAUUUAAAAAUAUCAAAUAACAUUACAAAUAGAAGGACAAAAAAUAUUUUGUGAAAUAUGUUAAAACAAGCUUAUAUAAAGUAUCCUAUGUCUGUUUAUAUACAAAUAAAUAUAAUAGAAAAAGACAUAGAUACUUGUGCCUUAAUAGACACAUGGAGUGAAAUUACAAUUAUGAAAACCUUUUUAUUGAAUCAAUGGAAACCAAGUGGCAAAAUAAAACUUGUAGAUAUAACAGGGGAUAAACAACAAAUCAAUCAAUCCUCAUUAAAUUUUAAAAUCCUUUUAGGAAGUAAAAUUGUACGAAUAAACCACAUCUUCCAAUAUGACCAACUGGAUUGUGAUAUCCUUUUAGGAAAUGAUUUCCUCCAACAAUUUCAAUAUUACCAACAAACUCCUUAUAUGAUCACUCUUAAAACCCCUUGUAACCAUAUCCUUCGUAUUCCGCGCGAAUUUAAACCUUACAAGUUCAGCCAGCCCAGCGUGGUGAUAGUCUAAUUUAUGAAAAACAUUUUUUAAUUUCUAAAGGAAAAAGCUAUAAUAUACAAUUAGAAACAAUAAAAUCUCAACUUGAACAAGUUUAUAAAGAAAAUCCGUUAGCAUUGUGGAAACCAGAUCACCCUAGAGCAAAGAUAGAAUUAAUAGAAAAUAGAAUUAUAAGACUUAAACUAAUGAUGUAUACAGAGGAAUAUAGGGAAGAGUUUAAAAUCCAGAUAAAAGAAUUAUUAAAUUUAAACCUAAUAAGAAAUAGUAAUAGUCCAGCUUUUAUGGUUAGAAAGAGAGCAGAACAAGUUAGAGGAAAGGCUAGAAUGGUAAUAAAUUAUAAAGAACUAAAUAAAUACACAAAAUUUGAUGGAUAUUUUUUACCAAAUAAAGAAGUACUGAUAAAUCUUGUGAAAAAUAAAACUUAUUAUUCAAAAUUUGACUGUAAAUCAGGAUUUUGGCAGAUAAAAAUGGAAGAACAUAGUAUUCCUUAUACAACAUUUAGUACUCCAUAGGGUCAUUAUGAAUGGCUAGUAAUGUCUUUCGGAUUAAAAAAUGCCCCUCAGAUUUUCCAAAGUAGAAUGGAUAAAAUAUUUAAGGAUUAUAAAUACAUAAUAGUAUAUGUAGAUGAUAUAUUAAUAGCAUCAGAAACAUCAGAAAGAUUAGUGAAUUCCCAGAUAAAUUAGAGAAUAAACAGCAAAUACAAAAAUUUGUAGGUUGUUUAAAUUAUGCUGAAGGAUUCAUAAAAGACUUAGCAAAGAAAAGAAAUAUACUUCAAAAAUUACUUAGGAAAAAUAAUACCAGAGGAUGGAACAUAGAACAUACAGAGACUGUAAAAAGCUUAAAAGAAUAAUGUAAGAAUCUCCCUUCAUUAAGAUUACCAGAAGAAACUGAUAGACUAGUAGUACAAACCGAUGCAUCUGACCUGCAUUGGGGAGCUAUACUUAAAAUAGAUAUAAACGAAAUUUGUAGGUAUACUAGUGGUAUAUUUAACCAAGCACAGGUUAAUUACCCUGUACAUGAAAAAGAACUCCUUGCAAUAUAUAAAGGAAUUAAAAAGUUCUCAUUAUUUUUAUUACAAAAGCCAUUUAUUAUAGAAACAGAUAAUUCUCAAGUAAGCUCAUUAAUAAGCAAGAUUUUGCCAAAUGAACCCUAGUAUAGAAGAUUACAUAGAUGGCAAGCAUAUUUGUCAUAUUAUAAUUUCAAAAUUAUACACAUAAAGGGAACUAACAAUUUCCUUGCAGAUUUCUUAAGCAGGAACAUAGAAUUUGGAGAUAGAUCCAGAAAUAAAUAAGAUCCUCUCUGGAAUAGAUGUCGAAUUACAUAAACUGGCAACAGAAGCAUCAGACAUAAUUGAUGCCAUAAACUAUAUAAAAGAGGCUUUAGAAGCCCAUGAAAAGUGAGUACAUUUGUUAGUAUCAUAUAUAAACGAUCUGACAAAAGCACUCUCUAUAAACAAAGCCCAAUAAAUGUUGUGCCAAUAAACACCAGCCCGAAAGGUGAAGGAAGCAGUGGUGGACCCAUCAGAGAGGAUAAACCAAUCUCUGAUCCAGUUCCUGGUCCUAGCCAAACCAUAACCAUAAAAAUAGAUCCACUAAAAUCAAGCCCUACAAAAACAAAAAAGUUUAUCCAGAUAAACAGUCCCUAUACCGAAGAAGAGACAAAGCCUUUAAACCUAAAAGAAGAAGAGUAUAAACAGUUCUCUACAUGGGUAUACUCCACCUGUUCCCAUAACAGUAAUAUUUAUAAAGCACCUGGAAAAAAUAUGUAUCCUAGAAUGAUAGCCACAAAAGGAGCAGACCCACUCCUUGUUGGGAAAAUAGCCCGAUAUGGUUACCUAGACUUAGUAUAUCCUGACAUAGACCUCCGAGAAAUAGCCAGCUUGGAUGAAUUGUUAGUCAAAGAAGUGUCAAGAUUUGCCCAGAAAAAACCUAUAUACCUUAAAUUCUACACCAUAAGUCCAGAAUACCACCAAAAUAUAGAAUGCCAAGCCUUUUAUAUGAUAUCCGUAGGUCAUCUCACAAAAAAUUUUAAAGUAGAAGUAGGAACUGAAUACACAGAAGUUCCUCAGAUAAACAAAGCCUGGAUCCGAACCCGAAGAGCCAGAGGAAUAAAAGCCAUAUGGAGCAUAGCAAAGGAUUUGUAUAAAAGAAAUUUCAAAACCAUCAUCAGAUUCCAUAACUAUAUACUCGUGACAGCAGAAGAUAGCCAUACACAGUCAAACAUCCUGUUGGAGCUAAUAAAUGACAUAAGCACUAUGCGUUUCCCCAGUAGCAGUGAAACCAUGCAGCAGGCUUGCCAGCUCAUGGAGAUAAGCCAUCCAAACAAGUAAAAAGAAGUAACACGCGUAGCAGACAGAAGAGAUAGAAAGAUAAAAGAUGCUGAUAGAAAAUGCUCGUGGCAGACAAAAUAAAGAUGCUGAUAGAAGAUGCUCAUGGCAGAUAAAAUAAUAGAGAUGCCCGACAAGAUAAAAAGAUAAAGCAGAGGCACGUGAUUGCCAAAGAAAAAAGAAGAAUAAAACAAAGGCUCGUGAUAAUCAAAGAAGACACGUGGUUUGAAAUAAAAGAUGUAAAAAUGUAGUUACGUAAGGAAUGAUGUAAGAGCCCAAUAAAAAAGGGGCAGUAAUGUAAUUGUAAAAGAUAAACAAUUUUGAUAUAAAUAAAGGAGAAAGGAGAUAAGGCUCUCAGAGCUUAUCAUGACCAGAACUCAAUCACUUUCUACAGUUCAAAAAACUCUUUGAAACAAUGAACAGCUAAACCACUCCCCUGCUCUAAAUCCUAAAUCAAUACAUCACUGAUCAGAACAAAUAAACACCACAGAAAGGAAAGAGAAACCUAAAAUUAUUCAACGUUUCUAAGCACAACGAUCGAGAUCCAUACAGUAAGGCCGCUCGAGUCCGCUGAUCCCGUUGAGGCAAGGAGGUCGUUGAGGGAAUAAGGACAACCAGGCUGCAGGUCACUGGAGAAUGAUCGAAAGGUAAAGAAACAAGAAUAACUUAGGUAAUAAUUCUCAAUCUUUAUCGGUUGGUGGAAGUUUGUUGAUGAUUGAUGAUGAAGAGAUUUAUGGAGGAAUAGCAAAUUCUCAUAAGUGAAACUCUUUGAAUAAAUUGAUUCAACAUGAAUAACUAUAUUUUGUUAGGAAAAUCUAAAAAAUAUAUGGUAAACCCAACAACUAGAAUAACAUAUAAUAAUUAUAUGAUGAUAAUAGAUUUUAACUUAGGAUCAUUUAGACAGGGCUCAUAUCUUGUUAGUAAACAAGAACUUGUUAGAACAUAAGACUUACAAGUAGUAUAUAGUCUUAAUCUACCACAAGAAAUAAAACGAAAAAUUAUAAAUCAUAUCGAAAUAGAGAAUCUAAAACAUAACAUAAUCAUGUUAACUGUAGAACAAGCAAUUGACAUAGCCUUAGCAUAUAUGGAACAUGAAAGUCUAGGAAUAGGACCAUCUUACAUAACAGAUAUAGAAAAUUUAGAUAAUGAAGAACUGGACAUAUAACUUGAAAAAUAUAAAGAGGUAUAUAGGCGGGAAUCCAUCGACAUAAGUUCCAGAGGUGAACCCGAAUGGGCACUAGUCUGGUCCGCACUGAUGGUCAACAAGCCACGUACUUCUGUUUGAUUUAAUUUAAUAAUAAACACUAGAAUUAAAACUUGUAAAUCUAUUUUAAUAAUAUUGACAUUUUUACUUUCUCAGUAGCCGUUUUUAAUUUCAUUAUUUUUAUUUAAUUUUUAAUUUCAGUUAUUUUCUGUUUAAAUACACACACCCAAAAUGGUAUCAGAGCCAUAAGAGUCCGAAAAGAAUCAUAAAAAUUCUAGAACUAAUAUAUAAAAAAAUGGAUCCAAUAAAAGGCAUCUGUGACAACUUAUACAACUUAAAGGUAUUUGACAAAGAGGAAAUAAAAACUUUGAUAACAUCCAUAAAGACAGAGAAAAAUAACAUUAGAAAUAUUGAUCUUGAAUUAACCCAAGAAUUGCAAGAAAGAUCUAUAGACACCUUAGGAGGAGAAAUUUUGAUAGAAAAGAAAAUGAAAUUUAUAGAUAAAUUUAUAAAAUUUUUAGUAUACUGGCAUAAAAAAGAAGCAUUACCAUGAAUCAACAUGCAUUUACUGUAAUAAAUGAAUUAGCUGAAGCCAUAGAUCGUAUGAAUCUAGGAUGGGAAGAUAUAAUAACAACUUACAUAAAUUUAAUAAAUCAAAAAAUAGAUUUAUUAGAGCAAGAACGGAUAUGAGUAAUAAAUUUAGGACCAUAAAUUUAUUCUGAAUUUAUGGAUUUGUAUGAAUUCGAUAAUCAUAUACUAAUUAUUUAAAGAAAUAAAAAGAACUUUAGAAAGAAUGAAGAACAGGUGUAUAAUUGAUGGAAUGAGAUAAAUACAUCCAUAAUUAUAAAAAAAAUUAAAAAUAAAGGGACUCAUAUGAACUUUGCCAUGGAAGAAAAGACAAAAAACUUAAGUUACGUUUAACGUAACUUAGGAUCACCCCUGAACAAAAAGAUUGGAACAACUGGAUAUUGGGCUUCAAUAUUUUAUAUAUAUAUAUAUAUAUAUAUAUAUAUAAUCACAUAUACAAUUAAUAAAAAAAAUUUAACGGUAAUGUGAUCUAUAUGUUGUAGGGUAUUUUGGCUUCUAAUUUAAAUGUCAUGUACACGUCUGGGUGCCAAGGAUCCUUAUUUCUAGCAAUAUUUAACCCUCAACAGCAGGUGUCUUUAAAAUGGUAGCUUUUAUUUUUAGAGAAUCACUGUAUAUGGAUAGACAAUUAAUAGUUUCUUUCUUUCUUUCUUUUUCUUUUUUCCUUGCGUAAGUGAGGUGGCAAAAUGAUUAAACAAAUCAUAUUUGAAUUAAAUAAAAAAUGAAUUAGGUCCAAACUGUACUAAUUUAAAUUUGAUUCGUUAAUCCAACAAAGUGUUGGCUCCACUGGCAAUGGAGUCCCCUUAAGUGGCUUGACUGGGUUUGCUCACCAGUUCGAGUCGCAGGGAAGUCGCCUUUGUUGGGAGAAUCUGUGCCUCCCGGUUCGAGCGGGGACUUCUAAUCUGAGUUGUGGUACGGGCUUAAAGGUGCCUCCCACAGUUGGGGUCCUCCCCAGGAUACCUCGUGAUUAAUAUCAAAAAAAAAAAAAUUUGAUUAGUUAAUUAAAUGAAUGUUUUUGGUUUGGUUCGUUUCAUUAGUUUAGUAGAAUUAAUAAAUGAAUUGAAACAAAUCUACAUUCGCUUACUAUUUGUUCAUUCUAUAAUGAAUUCAUUACUAAUCAAAUUGAAUAUGAAUUUAUUUAUAAAAGUAUAAUUAAAAAUUCUACCAAGCUUUAACAGAGAAGAUUGGAACUUAAGAAAAGAGCAAACGAUAUAAUUUUUAAAAAAGACAGAAACAAAAAGAAAAAAAGAGAACCUUUCACUGUUCCUUCUGUGAAUCGUGGGGCUGGUAACAGCCUAAGAGAUUGAAUCGCUACUAAAAAUAGAGGACAGAGGCAAGACUGGUUUUUUGGUUUCUGCCGAAGAAGACAAAAUUAAUUAAAUAAAAUUUAGUCCAAGACAAUAAACUAACUACAAAAAUGAUUUAAAUAAUUCAUAGAUAAAGUACCAAAUUAAGCUUGCAAUUUUCACAUGUAGCAAAAUAACAUAUACAGUAUGAUGAAAUCUCUACACUUAAAUCGGCUGUCCAAACCAUUAAAUUAAAUCCUUUUUUCUAUUAGGACAAAACUAUGUAAAUUUGAGAAUUUCGGUUUAGCCUACUUUAGUCAAACUCAAUCUCUCAGCACAGUGACAAAGAAAAAGUAGUUGUUUAAGAAAAAAAAGUGAGAGUGACAUUGCAUAGACAUGACUGUGAAACGUCAUUUUCUUACCGGCCGUGGUCUUGUCUUUUAUUAUACUAGUAUAAUGGUUGAAUUGUACAUUUUUAACUAAGUUUUGAAAGUAUUGUUUCUAGAUUUAUUUCAAUGAGAAAAAAAAAAAACACAUUAUUACCCAAAUUACAAACUUUUGUGAUUCUGACUCUUGUUCUGUUGUAAACCCAGUUUUCUAAAAUAUCCUUGAGAAUACCAUUUUGAAGUUUAGUAAUUGAAAGAUCUUUAUAAGCAUUUGCAAAUGCAGCAUUUUAAAAUAUUGAACAGAUAGUUAAUGAUCAAACUGAUGAUCAAAGUUAAUGAUCAAACUGACACAUUUUGCUUUAGAGUUGUUCAGCUGAAUUUUCUUUUGAUUUAAUUAGUUAAUGAGAUUUCAGGUUUAUGAUCAAAUGUGAAAAUCUGGAAGAACGUAUAAACCAUUAUUUACACGAUGUAGAAAUAAACACAAAUCAAUGUCUUCUAAAGAAAACUCAUACCGAUAUUAUAAUUUAAAUAAUAGUUUUUCUACGACUCUACACAAAUUUCCCAACAGCAGCAGUUCUUACAACAAGGGAACAGAGAAGAUAAAACAAAUUAAUUCAAAUAAACAAAAUGAUCACGUGGCCAUGAUUGAGAAUAAAAUGAAAAUUAUUUGUUCGUUUUUCGUUUUUUGAAUGGGAACAGAGAUGAGACUCAGAAUCGAUUAAAUCAAACCCUAAAUUGAUUAAAAGAACAAUUCAUUUAAGCAUAACCCUAAAAUAACCUAAUUAGAGAGAGGUAAAAAGAUAAUCAAAAUUAAAAGAAAAAACAUCUAAUAUUCGAGAAGCAAAUGAAGCUGAAGAAUGUUGAAAUUCUUCGUCAUAAAUAUAAAAAUGAAUAGAAAAAUAAAAAGUUAUCAAUUUGACUAAAUAGUGAAAUUUCACUUAAUAGUCAAAACAUAGCUUUUUUUAAUGCUUAGAAAAAAAGUCAAAUAUAUUUAUUUUAUUUUUUGGAAAAUCAUCAAAUACGUUUUAAUCUUCCAUUAAUUGUCAUUUAUAUUUGAGGUAAGUCUAAAAUAAAGUGACAAAUAUAUUUAUUAAUUUAUAAAAACAUCAACUAAUAAAUGUCAAAUAUAUAAAUUGAAUAAAAUAUGCUAUAUGAGUUUUCAAAGUAAUUAUAUUAUAUUGAUUCAUAAAAAAUUAUCCUUAAUAAUAAUUUUUAUAAGGGGUAUUUUUGUAUAAAUUAUUUUACUAAAAGUUGAGUAUUCAAAGUAAUUUUUAAAAUACAAUUUGCGCCACCUAAAAAGUUAACUACUUUAGUACUUUCAAAUACAGUACAGAUUGCCAGAGAAUUUUGACUAUAUGAGUAAUUAACUAACGUGAACUUAAAAAUAUAUUACGUGUUAUUGCAUGGCAAGCCUUAUCAUAGAACAAAGUCUCAAAAAAGCUUACUUAUCACUAUAAUUCCCAUGUUCCCAUAGCAUAGGCCUCAAGUUCCUCCAAGCUUGGAAAUUUGAAUUAAUAGUUGAAAGCAUCGGUUCCCUCGGCAAUGCUCCACCUCCACUGCAAGUUUAGAUAAUUAAUUUCAUAUGCAAAAUGCGCUAGAAGGGCAUUCGUUAAAAAAAGCUACUGAUAGCAAAGCACAAUGUCGUAGAGAUUGGAGUUUCCUGCCUAAGUUGACUUGAAAUUAGGUGAAUGUCAGCGUUGGGCAAUAUUCUCAAUUUAUGGAGCAAUGACUGGUUACUUGGACCCAGUCCUUCCUCAGCACUCACAUCUUUCCCUUUUAACAUAUAUUUAAUUAAUCCAAGCGCUUACACAUGCAUUGCAGAUGUCAGCAUUGGGCAAUAAGUUUUUACCGAAGAACAUUUUAGAAAACCUCAUGUUAUUCAAUUAAACCAUUUCAUAUCUUCUGAAAUGUGCAAAAUCAAAAACAAAAAUCCGUAAAGGAGAUAGAUGCUACGUUAAAAUAACAUACUCACACUACUAGAAAAAUGGUCUUUUGUGACACUUGUCUUGUGACACUUUAUUAUAAAGUAUCAGUAAUUACAUGUAUUUUGGGCAUUUUCUGUGUUUAACAGAUAAGUAUCACAAAUUGCUAAUACUAUGGUGUCAGUAAAUUAAAUAUCACAGAUUCGUGACACUAAAGUAUUAGUAGUUAAAAAAAUAAAAUUUUAAUUUUGUAUCUAGUAAUAAUUGAACCGAAGACCCCUAAGCCAUAACCUUUUGAUUUUAACCGCUAUACCACUCAGCCACAAAUUGCAUUUUUGAACUAAUAAAUAAAUAAAUAUGAAAACUUAAAACCUAAAACCUAAAAAGUUUUGUUAAGUCAAAAAUCUAUAUCAUGGCCGCCGAAGCUUUCUUCUUUCUCUCUCCUUCCCUCUCUCUCGCUCUCUUUCUCUCUCGAACAAUGAUCUACCUUGAAAGCCGCCUCCGUCAACACCUUGAAAGCUGCCGUCCUUGAGCUAAAAUAUCCCUGAAAAGAACCCAGAAAAUGUUGUGAAGAAUUUGGGCAAAGCUAAGGUUUGAAAGUCUGAAUCAGUGUUGUGGUAACUCUUUGUCUCAUUCUCUAUUCUCAUUGUUUAAGUAUUUAUUUGUUAAUUGAUUGAUGUUUAUUGAGUGCAAAUGAGAGCUUGCACUUGUUUGGAAAUCUAGCCAUCUAGGGUUUUUGUUGCUUAUAAUCUAAUUUAUUGUUUAAUAAAAUAAAUAAAACGCAGCUUUAUUAUAGGUGGAAUUCAGUUUAUUAAGUGAAAGAAUGAUUACAAUCGGUGAUUAUGGAUUUAGGUUGAAUGCAAUUUGUUAAUUAAAAGAAUAAUGGCAAUCGACAAUCAUGGGUUUAGUAUGUAUUACAUAUUUCGUUUAAUGGUGUGUAUGAAAACCCAAAAACUAAAAUUUUCUUAAGUAAAAAUCUCAUCUCUCCCUCACGACCUAUAAGCCCAUCACUCUCUCUCUCUCUCUCUCUCCCCUCUUUCUAGCUAACAACCCAAAACUUAUUGUGAAACCGCCAUAUCAAUCGUUCAAAACUCAUUAGUUAGCUGGUUAUUGUGAAAAGUAAGGUUAUUGUUUGCUUUUAUGUCUAAUUUUACUGUAAACAUGGGGAUUGAUGAUAUUCGAGUUGCUGGACACUUGAUUUUGAGGUGAAAGAUUAAUUAAUAGUUUACGAAAUUAUGCUGAAAAUUUGAGGAUUGAUAGAUUGUUGUUGUGAACUUGGUUGUUUCCGAACUUGACUAAAUGACUUUCAAUUGAUUUGAAAGUUUGAUUAAACUAAGUUUAAAUGAGAACAUUUUAGUUCUGGAAAUUUUGGAAUGAAUUGGGUUUAUAUUUGAUUUUGAAUGGAUUUCUCAAUAUGGUUGGUUGUUGUCCAAUUUUAUUAGAAAUUACAUAUGUACCAUGUUUGAUAUUGCAAACGUAUAAUCUAACAGAGUUAGAAUAAGCUGAAAUUCGGAUAAACUACACUUCUAUUUGCAUACUUCGAAUAUGGAAAAUUUUAUUUUGAUUGAACUUGUAAUUUAUUUUUAAUGAUUUUUCAAACUCUGCUGCCUUUGCAGUAACUUAUUUUGACAGAAUUGUUCAUUAAUCUUUGAUCCUAUCAAACACCAGCCUAAUGAUAUCGGAAUAGCCUCAAAUUUUAAUAUGUUGUUGACUUAUAUGUCCACUUAAAAUCUGGAAAGUAUCAUUCUGAUAUAUUUAGUAUUUUAAAUUUAAUAAAAAUUCAAACACCUGCUGCUACUGUUACAGUUUCAUAUGCAAUUUUAACUUAUAUAGUUUUAUCAUGUGAGAAGCAAAUGUAGAGUUGUCCAAAUGACUUGGAAAUUUUGUUUGUGGUGUAUUGACAUGUCUAAUUAUGUUUUGUAAGUUUCAUAGCAUUCCAAAUUGAAUUAAAGAAAAUCUUAAAUUCAAGUUGUCAAUGUUUCCUAUUAAAUCUAAUUAGUGAUAAAUCUACUAACUUGCAGUACUUUUCAAGAAAACAAAUGUGUCAACACUGUGAAUUGCAAUGGGAGAAGAAAGUACCAAAGGCAUAAAUCUUUUUUCAUUAUAUUUGGGACUAUUCUUAAAGGUUAGUCUUUUCCUUUUUUUUUUCUUUUUUAUUUAAGGUAAUUAUAUUCAUUUUAAUUUUAAUUACAAUCAAUUUGGCGCUUUUAGACAACUCGCACCAACCAAUCCAACAAAAAAUGAAGAUAAUAUUUUUGAAAUGCAUUCAGUUUUUGACAAUAGCAAAAAGAAAAAGGAAAAAUGAUACUAGUUUAGGCUUUAGGAAAUUUGCAUCAUCAUUCUUGCAAUGCAGCAGCUGCCUCUAUCUCGGUGCUCUCGGAGAAGUAAUCUUGCUUAAUUUUGCGUGAUAAGCCCGUCCUAGCCAUUGCAAAAUUGACACUAAAAAGGUUCCAGUUUUUCAUACGGUAGUUUGAAAAGUCUGCACUGUUUGCUAUGCUGAUGCCCCAUUUGAAUGUUGGAGCCCAAAAAUGAAUGGUUUUAGGACCAGCCGGGUGGUUCCAGAAAGCUAGGAGCUUGUUAGCUAUUCUUUUUAAUUGAACUAAUUUAACUUAAAUAUUAGCCCGAUUAUUGAUUUCUAUGGUUUGCGAUUGAUUUGAGUUUGACAAUUUUGUUUUGUGUUGGUUUGAGUUUGACAUCCUAGUUUAAGACUUUGACGGCUUCCAAGAAAUGAUUUUGGAUGAUGAGCAUAGGAGUAAUAGUUUGAAAAUUAAUUUACUGUAUCAAAUAUAUACUUAGGUGGUGUUUGUUGUUUUGUCUGAAAUCUGAAUAGACCUGAAUUAGUAUAAAUUCUGAAUAGAUCUGAAUAUCUAAAUCUAAAUAAUAUGUUUGUUUUUUCGUCUAAAUCUCAGAAAAUAAGUACUAAGUUGUUUGUUUUUUUCAACUUAAAAAGCUGAAAAUAUGUACUUUUACAUUUGUAUCCUUAUUAAAUUUGAAUGUCAAAUAAAUAAUAUAUUAAAUACCACAAUAUUUUAACAUUUAUAAGUAAAACUAUAUUCAAGUGAAUACAUAAUUAUUUUGGAAUUUUAAUAAAUAAAAUACUGUAAAUUUCAAAUUUUAUCGUAUGUAAUAUAAGAAAGAAAAAACAUGGUUAUUUUUAUGUGGGGUAAAUGUCUAUGAGUGAGUUUUGGGAUAGACAUGAAAAAUAAAUUAUAAAGCAUGUAUAUUUUUUAUAUUAAAAAGUAAUUGACUUAAUUCAAAUUUCUCGAUUAAGUAAAAAGCCAAAAAAAUUGGCUUAUUUUAUUAAUUCAAAAUUAUCUAAAAAAUCUCAUUAAGUUAUAAAAACAAACACCUCUAAUUAACUUAAUUAAUUAAUUUAAGUCACUUUUAAGUCAUUAAGUUAAAAAAUAAACGCCACCUUAGUGUAGCAUAUUAAUUUUAAGAACUAUGGAUUAUUCCAUGAAUAUUCUAGUAAAUGGUUAUGUUAUAUAUGCAUGUCUUAAUAUAUAAUACUUAUAUUUUAAAGUUUGUUUUUUUUUUUUCCUUUCUAGGUUUAGGAAAAAUGUUUAAAGUGAUUUUGGGUUAUGAUGUCAAUCAAGUUAAAGCAACAUUACUUGUGAGUGGAAAUAUAUAAUGAUUAUAUUUUUAUUCUAUUUUUUUUUAUCUUCUUAAAGUUUUAUAAUUAGGCAAAAUUAAUGAAUACUUAAUUGCAAUUUAGGGUGAUAUUCUUUAAAUGGUUCACAUGAAUAGAUUUAAGUAGUACAAUAAAUUCAUACUCACUUUAUAAAGGCUUAACUAAGUUUGCAAAUAUUAUUUUUUUUAGUAGUAAUAAUUUUGGAUCGAACUCUCAAAUUAUUGAAAUAUUUUAUGUCUAAAUUUUAUUAUGCCUAAUAUAAAUAUGGAGAUUCAUAGUUAUUUUAUGCCCAGUUUAAGGAAACUACAGUUUGAGGACUUAUUUUUGCCUUGUUAAAUAAGCUUUUAGAAUGAAUAAAUUGAGGAAAUGAGUGGUGAUUUAUUUAUAAUAGAGCAUUUGUGAUAGCUUUUAACUAUGCACAAAAAUCAUUUGGUAUAUGUAGAUAGAGUAACAUGCUUGUGCUGAAAGUAGAUAUUACAUUGAAAACUUUUUGUCUGCUAUAGUUUGCUAUAUAUAUAACCUUUACCAAAGAGAAUAAUUGAGUUUAUUUAUAAAUAGCUUAUGAGUAUUUUUUCUUUCGAACAAAAUAAUUUUAUUUCUGUUAAUUGUUGUUUCUCUAAUGGCUGGAUAUUGGCAGCUAAUUUUUUUUUUUCUUUUCCAUGUAUUCAUAUGCAGAUUUGAUCAAUAUGUUUGAAGUGUUUAUUCCUCAACUUCACUUGUAUCCUAACCCAUACAGUCUAUUGAAUGGAGAAGCUGCUGGUGUGAUAACGCAAUUAUACUACCCAUAUUCAAAGAGUGAAAGGCAGUCAUCCUUCUCAAUUUAGCUUCUAGAUUUAUUAAAUUUAGCCACAAAUAGUAGGCAUUUGAUUGGAUGGUAGAAAUUUUUAUGUAUUGAAUUUGGAUUAUUUAGUUAUGAGAGUAGGAUAUCUCAUAUUUUGGUUAUUGAAGUUUUGGAAUUUGUAAUAUAUACUAAUAAUAUUUAAAUGUGAAAUGAAAGAUUUUGUGAUAUAAAUCAAUUUCUUUUUGUUAUUUUGUGGUGCCUUUUAAUUUUACCAAUAAAUCAAUAGGCAAUGAUCCAAUUCAAUUUAUUAUUUUUUUAAAAUAAAUUAACUAGUAAUACCAUGGUAACAGUAAUCAUAGACACUAAUAAAAUAUUAAUAACUACUAACACUAUGGUGUCAUAAUAUCGGUGGUACUGUAGUAAUACUAAUCACUGACACCACUUACAAGUGUCACUAUUUUUGACUCCCAGAUUACUGACACAAUUAACAAGUGUCAGUGAAAGUAAUUUUUGACACUAUUCUAAAGUCAGUAAAGACUAUUUUUCUAAUAAUGUCAAUUUGGAAACUAACAUACUUAAUUUAGAAAUUAACUGUAUAAAUUUUCAAUCUUCAAAAUAUGGGGGCAUGAAAAACUCAAUAGUACAAAAUACUAGUUCAGCCUAAGAAAGCAAAUCUUGUAUAAAAGCAUUUAGUCUGUUAGGCCCCUUUUCCUGAACUGCAUGCAUAAUCACUUGUUUCAUUGUAUAAGGUUCUGAAUUCAUAAGACUUGAUGAAGAGACAACAAAAGUCAGACCACAUAGCAUGAAAAUCAAAUAAACUUCAAUUAAAAAACUAAAAAAAUGCAGCAAAAAUAUUCAUGCCAAAAUUACAAUUAGGAAAAGACAGGAAAACUAACUCCAAUUCUUCUUGCUUGAUCCUCCAGUUCUUGCAGAUAGGCAGCCCCCACCCACAAAAUUCUAUUUCUGCUCAGCCUACUUAAAUAAAAACCUACACGGAAUUAUGGAAAUAUCAGGUCAUAAAAUGAUUCAUAAGAUUAUAUCCACAGUAGCAGCAACAAGGCUUCAUUGAAACAGAACUCCAAUAGAGAUUGCAAUGCAAGAUAGUGUUUGGAUUGUAUUAAUUUUCAUACCUCAUAUUUGACUAAUAAACUAGUUCAAGCAUUUCAACAAAUAACUCAAAGAACUAUGGGGUAGGGGUGGGCAAAUUAUCCGACCCGACCAGAUCCGAUCCGACCCGAUUCGAAAAAAUUCAGGUUCGGAUUGGAUCGGGUGGUCAACAAAACCCGAUCGGGUGAAAUUGUCUCAACCCGAUCGGAUCAUGAUCGAAUCGGGUGAAACCCAAUCUGAUCCGAAAACCCGAUCGGGUUGAGACAAAAAAAAAAAACUUGGGCAAAAAUUAUAGAUUUACACUUACAGAAUCACACAGACACACACAUGACACACUCACAUCUCACACGAAUACAGGCACUGAAUUAGUAACUCACUCUCACAGAAACAGAAUACAGAUCACAGUACAGAGUACAAACUCACGGAUUUACAGUAAUUCACAAUUCAAUUCAGUAAUUCACAUUUCACAAAGUAUUCACCGCAACAAAACAAUUCAGGAAUUCACUCCAAACUAUUCACCGCAACAAAAGUUACAAAACAAUUCAGUAAUUCACCAAGAAAACAACACAAACGAAGCAAAGUAACAAGUAACAACUCACAGUCACAAACCCUCACUCACGGUAUCACUAUCACAAUUCACAAACCCUCACUGUCACACACAAAUCACUGAAACCAGCAGCCGUCAAGCACAAGCAGGCAGCAGCCAAACCCACAGUCCCACACUCAUUCAUGCCUCACGGAGUCACGGCCUUCGUCGCUCACCACCACACGCAGCAAACACACACGCACAGUUCACGGAGCUAGCUUCAACCGACCACCACACGCAGCCAACAACCACUUCCGAGAACGACCCCAACCGAAGCCGAAGCUUAUUCGCGAAGAUCGUGACCCGAUCUACAGAUCUGCUGCAACCAAGCGCCGGAUCCAUGCCUUGAAUCCUCCACUCCACCAUAACUCAGUCUGAUUGAAGAUCCACCCAGCAAGCUGCCUCCAAUCCACUCGAGUCUCCACCAUUGGCAUCCACGGGUCACGGCUGUUGAGUGUUGACAUCCAGCCACCACACCCAUUCAUGGUCACGCCUCACGGGUCACGGAUCUAGCCUCCAGUCUCAAAAGGUCUCUGACUCUCUUCACUCUCUGUUUUGGAAUUGGAAGUUGGAAAACUUGGAAGUUUGGAAUUGGAACUUGAAGGCUUAAAGCCCGAAUCAGCAAGACAGCAAAUCCAACUUUUAAAGUUAUUUAAGAGAUGGUAUUAGUAUAUAUUAUAUAAUUAUAUAUGCAUUAAUGAUUAAUUAUAAUUUUUAUUUGUUAUAUGUUAUAUGAGAAAUGUUAAUUGUAACUUUGUAUGUUAAUUAUAUAUAAUUAUAUAUUGUUAAAUUUUAUCAAUAAAAUGAAAAUAAUUUGGCAUUAAUUUUCUGUUAUUAAUUAAUAAUUGAUUUUUUGUAUGAAUAGUAAUGUUAGAUUAAAAAUUAAAAUUAAAUAUUAUGUUACAAUAUAAAUUAUAAUUAUAUAUGUCAUAUGAUAUGUGUAUUUGUACAAUAGUUUCAACUUCAACAAAAUUAAUGUGGAUUCCAGUCCACUGAUUGAGUUCUGCCAUUUGGUAGAGGGUUUUUUUUUUUGUGAUUUAUUAUAUUUUAAUAUUAGAUUUAAUGGGUUUUAUCUUUUACUAUAAGACAUUAAGAUUUAUUAUUGUGCUACAUAGCAAGUCGUUAAGGUUUUCUUUGAAUUUUGAACAAACAUGACCAUAGGAUAAGAUUAAAAUUUGUAAAAAAAUAAUUCAUUUUUUUAUUGUGAAAAACUUUUGGACAGGAGAAAUUCUAGCGUGAUGUUUUGGGUCUUCAUAAUCUAAUAUGAAACCACUAACAAAUAAUAUUUUAACAUAUGUACAUAAUUUCUAAAUUUAUAAGUUAUUUAAUUAAAAGUCAUACAAUUUCUUUUUCCUCCCUUUCACUCUCUUCCCUCUAAUUAAAGAUAAUUAAUGGAGUAACUCAAUUAAAGUUACGUUUAAUCCCCAAUUGCCAAAUUGCCAAAUUAAUUAAUUAUAACCUGAAUUGACCCGAAUUGAUCCGAAUAACCCGAAUUUAAUCCGAACCCGAAUUAACCCGAAUCCGAUCCGAUUACACCCGACCCGAAUUAACCCGAAUUCAUCCGAAUGACCCGAAUUAACCCGCAUCCAAUCCGAUCCGAACUCCACCCGACUUUUUAACCCGAUCCAAUCCGAUCCGAAUUAAAUUCGGAUAGGAUCGGAUCGGGUUAUAAGUUCGGGUGGAGUUCAGAUCGAUUUUUAUCCAACCCGACCAACCCGAAACCCGAUCGGAUUGAUCCGAAUCCGACCCGAACUCGAUUUUUCCCACCCCUACUAUGGGGUUUGAUAAGACAUAGCUCCACUCUUUUGAGAAUUACCAUAUCUAUAUAGGUUAAGCAUUAUAAUUUUGUUUCACAUGAACUCGAAGAUCCAAAUUCAUCAUUACCUAAAAAUAAAAGAGCACAAAUAAAAACCAAAUGAAGCAUAAAGAAAGUAAAGGAGAAGAAAUUAAUAUCAAUAUUCUGGCACAUGUAAUUAACAAAUGUAAUUACCCUCAGAAUAUGGCAUUACGCAUCUCCAAGAGAACUGUUCUAUGAAUUUUGUAUAUCUCGAAAUGUUCUAUGAAUUUUUUGAGGAUAAAGCUCCCUUUUAGAAAUGAGGAUCGCCUGUAGGCAUGACCCCACAAUCGAGUCAGGACGAUUGAAGUUAUAGUUCAUCCCUCUGAUAAAGAUGGAGAUAAAGUUAUAAAACUGCAUGAGAACAUAAAAGCAAGUGAUUAGCAGCAGUCACGGUAGUCAAGAAAAGGAAAGAUAACUAAGAUAAAGAUGAAGCUUUUAGAGGAACAUGUCCAUUGUAAUGGAGCUUUAAAUCAUUUAAUUCAUGCUUUAAUCAUAUAAUACAAUAUACAAACAUCAUUUAAUCAUGUUACAGAUAAAUUUUGCAAAUCCACAAUAAUACACAUGCCUUCAACAUGGAACGUGUCCCUUCUCACUUAAGGGAUUCCACAGCUUCGUUGAUGUUAAAAUUAGAGCAUAGUGCGAGUUAAAUUACCAGCACCCAUAGCCUCUGUCAUAUUAGUACUAUAGAUCUCGGAGUUUUCCUUCUUAACUAAAGAGUUAUUAAAUGUCUCCUUACUAAACGUGGAACCAGUAAUUGCCUGAAAAUAAAUUUCAUCAGCACAUUUCCACAAGUGAAUGUUGUGACAUAAAAUAAAGGAGUGAGUUGUAAAGUAGAUUCCUUUGUGAUAAGGUUUAGUGUGAGUGUGAUAUAAAGUAAAGGAGUGAGUUGUAAAGUAGAUUCCUUUGUGAUAAGGUUUAAUAAUGUCUACAGUAUGUAAUAGUGGUUCCCUUGUGCCUAUAAAAGGGAACCCUUGGUUUGUUGAUAGGCACCGAGUCUUGGAGUGCAAUAUUGUAUUAUAAAUCUCUCAUUGUAUUUGUAUUCGUAUGUAUUAUGUACCAUCCUUAGAGAUAAGGAUAAGAGUGUGAGUGUGACAUAAAGUAAAGGAGUGAGUUGUAAAGUAGAUUCCUUUGUGAUAAGGUUUAGUGUGAGUGUGACAUUAAGUAAAGGAGUGAGUUGUAAAGUAGAUUCCUUUGUGAUAAGGUUUAAUAAUGUCUACAGUAUGUAAUAGUGGUUCCCUUGUGCCUAUAAAAGGGAACCCUUGGUUUGUUGAUAGGCAUCGAGUCUUGGAGUGCAAUAUUGUAUUGUAAAUCUCUCAUUCUUCUUAAUGAAAGUAACCUUCCUCUGUUUGCUUUAAAACAAAUUUUUUGGUAUCAGAGCCAUAUUUCCCAAAAGGAAACCCCUGGGUGUGCAACAAUACUAUGCUCUGUGGUUGCCGAAAUACUUCGAAUCCUCCACAUCAGAGAGUUGUUGGAUACUAGUCUGCCUGUCUAAACUUUCCAUACUAAAACACUACAGAGUAAAUUCUGUAAGGUGUGGCGCCCCCUUGAGAAGGCCAAGAAGUACCGUGUUUUAGGGCUUAUCACCCCAAGGAAAACCCUCUGAUUUCUUUUAGCCAUGGAAACCCAAAACAGUAACAGAUCCAGUAACCAACCAAUUUCUGACCAACCACCUACUUCGGCCAUCAGAGUACCAACUGAUAGUUCACCCUCUGUAAACUUUCAUUAUGAAACCCAAGAGGAUGAAAAUAGUGAGAGAGCGGUUCAGUCCUUCAGACUUGAUCUGUUAGAUCCUUACAGAUACUACCAUAUUAGCCCUACUCUUAACCACCUAAGAGCCAUAAUCCCCAUAAGACAACCUAAGCUAAAAACCAUCUACAAAUCCUCUGAAAUCACUGUCCAGUCAAUCUCCUCAAGCUUAAAAGAAACAUACCUUCCCAUAAUCUCUUCCAGCGAGAUUACAAGGUAUAAACUUCAGGGAUACAAGGGACUACACCUUGGAGCAAUCCAGAUAGGAAUACAACCCUUAUUCCUAGUUGGAAAAGAUAUCACAUGUUUCAUUGCCAUUUUAGACACCAGAUGGCAAACUUUUGAAAAGGCUUUAAUUACUGCUGUUGAAGCAGGACUCAACCAAGGCCAUGUUGUUCUCCAAGUUGAGCCAAAUUUUACCCUUGAUAUACACAAGUCAUCCCUCACAGAUGCCAUUAAGGUAUUAAUUCAGGUCAAUGGUCUAACCAUGAAACCUGAUGAAUCUGCCUUGGCAAUCCACCACACUAUGACCUAUAAAGUCCAAACCCAUCUGUUCUCUAUGAGUAGCUCUGGCAGGCCUAUUACCAGAUUUCUUGCUGGUGAUGGCAGAGUCUUUCAACCCAGGACUUAUAGGCAAAACCAACUCAUUUUUCCACCACAAUGGAUUAAUGAGUAUGAGAAAAACAACAGGCCUCAACAAAUCCAUGAGGUCCCAAAGAUAAGCAGGCUACAAGAAGGAAGAGUAUCAGUCUCUUUCCCCACAGAGACUAAAGCUCUCUAUCCAUGUGAAAAAUGCCAGCUUAAAGGAAAGCAUCCCUCCUUGUGCACACAUAUGCCAAGAAGAACUACCUCCUGCAGAAUCAUGGGUCCAGUAAACAUGAUUACCACUCCGGAUCUUGAUAAUGAGUUCAUAAAAGAUAUCCCCGAAGGAAUGUAUGCUGCUAAAUGGGUAAUACAGAAAACUAACCCAACAGAGUUCGGCCCAAUUGAGAAGGCAAUCAACUAGUCAAACAUCAAUGCUGUGGAACAAAACCAAGCCUUGGGAGACAUCAUGGUCACUCAACAGCAGAUUCUUGCUGACUUAGCUGUAAUAAGAAAACAGCUAAAGAAAAACAAAAAACAGCAUAAAAUGUCCACCCAACAGUUCUCUCAACUACAUGAAAGUGCCUCCAGGUCAGUCAACAUGAUUGUGAUGACCGGAGCAGCAGACGAAGAUGAAAUGAGAAGGACAAGGGAGAGUUAUCAACGACCAAAGGUGUCCAGGCACUGGAAAAGCAAGCCUACAAAACCAGGGCACAUCUGGGAGGAAAAUGCAUCUGGGAAUUGCCAGAAAGCAUUUUGGAGAAGCUAUGCUCCUCCUCCUCAAUACCCAUGGCCCCAGAAGGCUACUGGGUGGGAUGAGGAAACAGAUACUGAUGAUAGCUCAAGCAUCUCUUCUACGGAGAACCCUCCAAUUCCUAUUCUAAUGCAGAGAGCUAAUCCUACAAAUCCAUUUUAUGUGGAUACACGUACCAGAUUUGCAGCUUCAACAACAACACUUGGUCAAACCUCUGAUCCUACAAGGCAAACUCAAAACCCAUCAGGGACAACACAAUUCACUGCCCCUGAAUUCACAGAACCAGCAGCUAUAGAAGCCUCCUCCAAUCCGGCUGAUGCACCUACUGAUCGUGCCCCGCAUAUAGAUGAAGUCAAUCAAGGAGAAGAAUGGGAAACCCGAGUACAACUCGGACAUUCUACAACCGGAAAGAUGUUCUAGAACAUUGAUGGAAUGAAGCCUAAAGAAAGGCUGGCUUAUUUUGAGAAAAUGGUAGCAUGGUAUGAAGGAGAAUGUCAAAGAGCCCCCCAGUUGAGCAGAAGAUCAGCCGCAUUACGGCUGGUAGCAGGAUUUGUUGGAUCGCUAAGACGAUGGUGGGGACGAAAGCUUAUUGGUGAGCAACGACAAUUCAUUCUCAGCAGAGAAGAUCCUUGUGGAAGCCUAGUUGAAAAUCUAUCCUUGGAUUUUCUAGGCCAUUUCACAAGAGAAGAAGAGGUUGCUGAAAAGUAAUUUCUCCAAAACAAGUGUUGUGAUGUUCGGAAAAUGGAAGAGUACUACCUGGAGCAAGAAAGGUUGUACUACAUCUUUGACAAACAAUCCGAUACCAUACACAGGACAUUUGUGCUAAACAUGCCAGGCCCAGUUGCAGAAAUGAUGGAGGCCAAAUUCAAAGCUGAUGCAAUUACUGAUUUAGCACAGCUCAGCCUUGCCCAGCUCUACCAGAUUGCAAUGGAGCUUAUUCAAAGCCACUGCAGAUCUCAAGAUUUACGAAGACACAUGAAGCAGAUUGAGAAAUCCUCUCUGCAAAAAUUCUGUAAUGAGGAACCAAACAAAUUUGGUUGCCAACAUACAGACAAAAUGUGCUCUUGUAAUCCUGGCAGACAAAACAAAGCAAAACGCCCCUGGAAACCAUACAAAGGGAAAAAAUACCGUUUCAUCAAAAAAUGGAAACACAAGAAAGGCUCUGGCAGAUGUUUCAUCUGUGGCAAGAAAGGCCACUAUGCUAAACAAUGUAAAUCCAAAAAGAAACUCCCAGCCAAACUCAUCCAGCUGAUCUAGCAAGAUGAUUUUGAUGACGACAUUUAUACCUGGUCCGAUAGCCCCUUUGGUGCUGUCUAUACUCUUAAUGAAUAUCCUCUUUCUGAUUCUGAGGAUACUGCUUCUACAACGGAUGGUGAUUCCCCCGAUGAUGAUGAUGAUGACACUGUUCUCACUAUUCGAGAACCUCUACAAGUUACUUCUGCCAUACAACGGUCUUCCCACUUCCGACCACACAUCAAAGUCAUCCUCAAUCCCUCUGAAGAUAGCCAGGUAGCUCUUACUGCUCUCAUUGACACAGGAGCUAUGUGCUCAUUUAUCCGAGAAGCCUGUGUUCCCCGAUAAUUCGAUGUUCCUACUAAGGUUUCUUUCGGAUCCGCCAGUGGCAGGGAUUUCUACAGCAAAAAGGUUACUCGUCCUAUCGAGAUCCAACCUUUUAUGAUCCAGCAUGGAUUAUUUGCCUUUGACUAUUCCGGCGAAGAUAUCCUCCUUGGCACUGACUUUCUCCGUCUGGUUGCCCCUUUUGCCUUCUUUCCUGAAGAAUUCUCUUACACCAUUCGCAAUCCAGUCAAUGGUUCUCAGCAUACUUUUCAAGUUCCUUGGGUUGAAAAGCAAUCCAUUUUUGGAGAGGGUGGAAAACUAACAAACUACCCAAUCCAUAAAUAUGAAACCCAAAUUAAGGAACUCCUUGAAUGCUGUGCCGAAGUACCAAACCAGUUCUGGGCUAGAGAACAAUACUUUGUGUCUCUACCAUAUAAAGAUGGAUGGACCAUGCCUCACUAGACAGCCUCUCAUCCAGGCAUGCCCCAUGACGAAGAAUUGUGCAAAUCAGAGAUCCAGGCCCUUAUGGAUCUAAAGCUUAUCAGGCCCUCUAAGUCUCAUUGGGCCAGCCCAGGAUUUUAUGUCAAUAAGCAUUCAGAAAAAAUACGUGGAAAGAAGCGAUUGGUGAUAGACUACCGAAAGCUAAAUGAUUGCUUGCAAGACAUAAGGUACCCGAUUCCACGGAGGACGCAUCUUUUAAAACGCAUUGCUGGAGCAAAGGUGUUCUCAAAGUUUGACAUGAAGUCAGGCUUUUGGCAAAUUGGAAUCAAGGAAGAAGACAGACACAAGACAGCAUUUGUGGUCCCCCAUGGGCAUUAUGAAUAGAACGUGAUGCCUUUCGGCCUAAAGAAUGCACCGUCAGAAUUCCAAAAUAGAAUGGAUGAGGUGUACAAAUCCAUUUCAGAAUUCUGCCUUAUCUACAUCGAUGAUGCCCUUAUCUUCAGCAACAGUGAGGAAGAACAUGUUGAACACCUGUCUCAAUUCAAAGCUCUUACCUAUAAACAUGGGUUGGCUUUGUCAGAACCAAAGAUGAAGAUAGGACUUGAUGAGGUAGACUUUUUGGGACUACACAUCAAACAGGGAUUCAUCAUUCCUCAGCCACAUAUUGCUGAAAAAAUAUCCCAGUUCCCAGACCAGCUGUCAACCGGAAAGCAAAUCCAACAAUUCCUCGGGAUAAUCAAUUAUGCAGCAGACCAUGUGCAGAACUUGUCAAAGAUGACGAGUCAGAUAUCAAAGCACUUAAAGAAAGGGUGCCCCACAAUGGUCGGAAGAAGCGACAAAGGCUGUGACAGACUUAAAGCAAAAGUGCCAGUCACUUCCACCAUUAAAGAUACCUGACAAAGGACAGCUCAUCUUACAGACAGAUGCUAGUGACCAUUAUUGGGGAGCACUAUUGAUAGAGGAAUCCGAGGGAAACAAGAGAGUCUGUGGCUAUAAAUCUGGCCAGUUCAACGACACUCAAAGCCACUACCCAUCCUCAAAGAAAGAAGUCUUAGCAGUCACUAAAGGGAUCAAGAAGUUUCAAUUCUUUCUCUCUCUAACCCCCUUUGUGAUUGAAACAGAUUACAAGUACCUCCUGGGAUUGAUCAGAAGAAAAUAAGGAGAAAUCCCAGAUCCACAACUAGCAAGGUGGUCCGAAUCUCUCUCGAGAUUUAAGUUCGAAGUCAGACACAUCAAAGGAGAAUCCAAUACUGUAGCGGAUUUCCUUUCUAGACCAAUCACCAUGAUCACAAGAAGAAGCCUCCCGAGACGAUGGGAAGAAGGCAGCUCCAGUGCUCAUGAAAACAUAGCACACUUUCUCAAAUAUCUCAAUACUUUUAUUGCAUGGCUUCCUUCUGAAGUACAGGAAGACAUCUUUGAGAAGAUCAUCUCUCACAGGAGAGAUCCGGAAGAUCAGGCUCUGACAUGGCGGGUAUGGCAGCUCAUGGCCAUGCAAGAACACAGACCUGCCCAUAACAAGAAGUGCCAAAGAGCCUUCGAUCCGCAUCCAAACCCGGACCAGAUGCAUGAAACUAUCUUCAAGGUUGGUUGCACUUUUCACUAUGUGAUAGAUGAGAACUCCAAUUGGGGUCAUUAUGUCAUUUGCGACAUAACCCCUCAAGCUUACUGUUGAGUGUUAGAAAAUGCAUAUUUAUAAAGGAGAAAACCAUCAUUUUACAUUUCAAGUCUUACUUACAACCCUUACUUUUAUGUAUUUAACCUUCUUGUGAUGUAAUUACGUGUGUGUUAUUUUAAUUAAGUAUUUUAUGUAUUUUAGGGGCAUUAUAGUCAUUUCACAAUAAAGGAGAGAUCAGACGGCAAAACGGACAUCACUUUUGAACUCAGGACGGUCGAAAACCUUAGGAGGAGCAUAAAAGGAAAAAUGGCACUAUUCACAUGUACGGUACUAUUCACGUAUACGGUACUGUCUACGUUACUGUUCACGACACUGUUUACAUAGAUGGAUCGAUGACGUGGCAUUGACCGAUGAUGUGGCAUUGACUGAUGAGGUGUCACGAUCCUGUUGGACUAAACUUCUUAUGUACUGUUGAUGGUGACGUGGCAGCAUAUCAGUGGACGAAAAAUCUCGCGUACGGUGCAUGCAUCACACAGAAUUAUUUUCAACCAAACCGCAUUACUGUUCAUCUGGGUCAAACCGUGUUACUAUUCAUCCACGUGGUCAAACCGUGGACUGUUGACUGAUGACGUGGCGCAAUCCUGAGCGUCCAAACUGUUUUUAAUCCGAUGGCCAUGAUUUACUCCAUGUAUCUAUAAAAAGGGGGCCUCUCCCCCCUAAUUUGAUAUCUAUGAAUCCAUUUUUGGGAUCCAUUUUCUGUAAUUCUCUCUCCAUCUUGUAUUUUCUAUGUAUUUUAAUAAAUUCUCAUUUUGCCCCUAGUUCAAUUAUGAGUAGCUAAUUUUCUUUCAAGCUUGGGUUGAAGGUGAAGUCUCAACAUGUGUCAUGGGCUUAAUUUGGUAAAUUUAUUUUCUCUUCCCCUCUAGUUUUUGUGGAUGUUUUGACUUCUCAUCGACAAAUAAUAAUAAUCUUGUCUAGAUACCGCCUUGGUUACACCGGCUCUCUAGUAUAAGGUUAUUAUUAUUUGGCACGAUAAGCCCUUAGCACCAUAUUGAUUAGAGCAUGGUUCAUGAGGUGUGGAUUCCCCCUCAUGAUUUAAUUGGCAUUAAUACGGAUUAUUUAGCCCAUGAUGCAUGUUGAUACGGAUCCAGAUACCCAAGUACGUCAUUUCAAUACAUUUCUCUUCAAUUUAUUCUUGCCAUUUCAAUUCCAAUUUCAGCAUUUAUUCUCGCCAUUUUAAUUUAAGUUUUAGCAUAUUCCAAAUCAUUUCCACUACAGAUCCAAUCAACCAUUUGCAAAAUUAAUUCUAUACACAAUUAAAAUCCACCUCCUCGUGGGAUCGACACUCGUCACCAUUGAUCUAUACUACAAUAGAUUCGUGCACUUGCGAGUACAUUAAAAUUUGCACAACAAGUUUUUGGCGCCGUUGCCGGGGAGGUAAGUAAUUUUAAUUCAUAGAUUUAAUUUUUGUGAAUAAUUUCAUUUAAUUGUUUUCUUGUAUUUUUUUUUGUUCUUUAAAAAAAAAAAGUAAAUCUACAUUUAAAGGUUAAUAUUUCUUUUCUUUUUCUCUUCUUUAAAAUUCUGUAAUUUAAUUUUCAAUUUAUUUUUUCUUUGUAAUUCUUGUUUAUUUUAUUAAUUUAAUUUUUAGUUAAUUUAUUUCACGAAUUUAUUUUUAUGUAUUUUUAUAGUAAGGUUGUAAUAGCGCAAUAAGGUUAGUAUCGUAAUUUCUCCCUCUUAUUUAUUUUUAUUUGUUUUGUUCCCAUCUUUAUUUUUAUUUUUUAUUUUAUUUUGCAUGCGUGGUCGUAGGUCAUUAUUACCUAAUCUUGAACCUAUAGACCUUGAAUUAGAAAAAACACUUCGCACACACAAACACGUUAAAAACAAAAUGGACCAGCAGCUCCAGCUCCACAAAUUCCUCAAGCCUCUCAGCCCCCAUUUAGAUCAUUCAAUCAGAACCAGAACUACUCUCAACCCAAACCAUAGGAGGAUUCAUUCCAGAAUCUCAAGAAUCUUACUCACUCCACGAUUGAGCAACAGAAUCGCACCAUUGAUGGACUACGAAAUGAGUUGAGAGCGGGCUUCAACUCACAAGCCCAAUCAGUUUCAAGCCUCGAGAAGAUGGUGGGACAACUUGCUUCUUCAGUUCAGACCUUGGCAAUUACUGUUGAGAAAGGUAAAUUUCCAAGUCAACCAGUGCCUAAUCCUAAAGGAGUACAUGAAGCAAGUACCAGUUCACCACAACAGCAUAGAGAGGUCAAAGCAGUCAUGACCUUGCAAAAAGGAAAGGAAGUCGACAACAAAGUGGAGAUGCCGGUGACAAAAGAAAAUCAAAUUGUACUUGUGAAUGUUGAGGACUCACCACCGGAGGAAAAAGAAGAAACCAACCCACGAGAAUAUGUUCCUAAAGCUCCAUUUCCUCAGAGGUUAGCGAAAGGAAAGAAGGGAAAAUCCACAGGUGAGAUUCUCGAAAUCUUCAAACAGGUAAGUGUUAACAUCCCUUUACUUGAUGCUAUUAAACAAGUUCCAUCUUAUGCCAAGUUUCUUAAAGACCUUUGUACUAAAAAGAGAAACAUGCAUGUUCAAAAGAAGGCAUUUUUAACAGAAAACGUUAGUUCUAUACUCCAACAUAAAAUUCCUUUAAAAUGUAAAGACCCAGGCUCCCCCACUAUUUCAUGUAGUAUAGGGAACCACACAAUUGAGAAUGCUUUGUUGGAUUUAGGAGCUAGUGUAAAUUUGUUGCCUUAUUCAGUAUUUGUGAAACUUGGACUGGGAGAAUUACACCCAACUCCAGUGGUGUUACAGCUUGCAGAUCGGUCCACGAAAAUACCUCGUGGUAUUGUGGAGGACGUGCUGAUCCAGGUAGACAAGUUUUAUUUUCCUGUUGAUUUCAUUGUAAUUGACACUCAACCAAUACAGGAUUCAAGGAAGCACAUCCCCAUUAUUCUAGGCCGACCUUUCUUGGCAACUGCGGAUGCUCACAUUCAAUGCAGGAUUGGAAAUAUGCAGUUGUCCUUUGGCAACAUGACUAUGGAGCUGAACAUCUUCAACAUUGCCAAACAACCUCACAAUACAGAUGAUGGAAUUGUUGAUGUGGAUUUAAUUGAAGCAUUAGUUGACGACACUUUUAUUUCAAACCUUAGUGAUGAUCCUUUACAAACAUGUUUAACUCACUUUGGUUUGGAUUUUGAUAUUGACAGAUCAGUCGAUGAUGUCAACGCCCUACUUGACUCAGCACCAUCCAUGGACACUAAUAAAUGGAAGUCAAGAGUUGAACAACUAGCACCAUCAGAGAAGAAACUCAUCCCAUCAUCAGAAUCACCACCGAAACUCGAGCUCAAACCAUUGCCCAACACUUUGGAAUAUGCAUUUUUGGGGGAAGAAAGCACACUACCAGUAAUCAUCUCAUCAUCCCUAAAUGACGAACAAAAAGGUAAGUUGUUGGAUGUUUUAAAAGAGCACAAAGGAGCAUUAGGAUGGACCAUAGCAGACAUAAAAGGUAUAAACCCUGCAGAUUGCAUGCAUUACAUUCACCUUGAUGAAAAUGCUAAAUCUACUAGGGAAAUGCAACGUCGGUUAAAUCCUAAUAUGAAAGAAGUUGUUAGAGCUGAAGUCCUUAAGCUAUUAGACGCAUGUAUCAUUUACCCAAUUUCUGAUAGUUCAUGGGUCAGUCUUGUACAAGUUGUCCCCAAAAAGUCAGGAGUCACAGUAGUUACCAAUGCUGAUAAUGAAUUGAUACCAACUAGAGUAACUACAGGAUGGCGUGUAUGCAUUGAUUAUAGAAAGUUGAAUUCUGUCACACGUAAUGACCAUUUUCCUUUACCAUUUAUUGAUCAAAUGCUUGAUAGAUUAGCAGGCCAUGAAUUUUAUUGCUUUCUAGAUGGCUACUCAGGAUAUAAUCAGAUUCCCAUAGCACCAAAAGAUCAGGAGAAAACUACUUUCACUUGCCCUUUUAGCACUUUUGCAUAUAGGAGAAUGCCAUUUGGAUUAUGUAAUGCACCUGCUACAUUCCAACGAUGCAUGUUGAGCAUUUUUUCUGAUAUGGUUGAACGAUUCCUUGAAGUCUUUAUGGAUGAUUUUUCUGUCUUUGGUGAUUCAUUUGAUCAAUGUUUACAUCAUCUAACGCUAGUUCUGCAGAGAUGUACCGAGAAGAACUUAGUCUUGAAUUGGGAGAAGUGCCAUUUUAUGGUAAAACAAGGUAUUGUUCUCGGUCACAUCAUAUCAAGCAAAGGUAUUGAGGUUGACAAAGCCAAGGUGGAUCUCAUUUCUAAUCUUCCUCCACCCAAAACAGUCAGAGAAGUAAGAUCUUUCCUUGGGCAUGCUGGUUUCUAUAGACGUUUCAUUAAAGAUUUUAGCAAAGUUUCUAGACCCUUAUGCAAUCUACUUGCUAAGGAUGUACCUUUUAUCUUUAAUGAUUCAUAUCUUGUGGCAUUUGAAAAAUUAAAGCAGUUGUUGACAUUAUCACCCAUCAUUCAGGCCCCAAACUGGAGCUUACCAUUUGAGCUCAUGUGUGAUGCAUCUGAUUAUGCAGUAGGAGCAGUAUUAGGACAAAGAGUUGAUCGAAUUCCCCAUGUUAUUUACUAUGUUAGUAUGACAUUGAAUGAUGCACAGUUGAACUAUUCAACUACUGAAAAAGAAAUGCUAGCAGUAGUGUUUGCAUUAGAGAAAUUUCGAUCUUAUCUCAUUGGUUGUAAAAUAAUUAUAUUCACAGAUCAUGCUGCUCUUAAAUAUCUUCUCACAAAGAAAGAUGCAAAAGCUAGACUAAUUCGUUGGGUGUUACUUUUGCAGGAAUUUGACUUGGAAUUCAAAGAUAAGAAAGGCACAGAGAAUGUUGUAGCUGACCAUCUCUCUCGCCUCCAUUUUGAUACAAUUAUGGAACCAUUACCAUUGAAUGAGUCAUUUCCAGAUGAACAAUUAAUGAAUGUGGAAGUAUUACCUUGGUAUGCUGAUAUAGUUAAUUAUCUUGUUAUAGGUAAACUUCCAGAGCAUUGGACCAAGCAAGACAAGGCUAAAUUCUUUGCGGAAAUAAAGAAUUUCUUUUGGGAUGACCCGUAUUUGUUCAAGUAUUGUGCAGAUCAAAUUGUUAGGCGAUGUGUCCCAGAAAGUGAUAUUCAAAAUAUCCUUUCAUUCUGCCAUGAACAAGCGUGUGGAGGCCAUUUUAGUGCUAAGAAAACAACUACAAAAGUUUUACAAUGUGGUUUCUAUUGGCCAACUAUAUUUCGAGAUGCUUACACUUUCUGUUCUUCAUGUGAUAGGUGUCAACGGAUGGGGAGCAUUACACGAAGAAACAUGAUGCCACUAAAUCCAAUUUUAGUGGUUGAGAUUUUUGACGUAUGGGGUAUCGACUUCAUAGGACCCUUUCCCCCUUCUUUUGGCCAUCAAUACAUAUUGGUUGGUGUUGACUACGUAUCGAAAUGGGUAGAAGCAAUUCCAUGUAGAACCAAUGAUCACAAGGUGGUGAUAGGAUUUUUGAAAAGCAACAUUGUUUCACGCUUUGGAUUCCCUCGAGCAAUAAUCAGUGAUGGUGGUGCCCACUUUUGUAACAAAGCAUUCAAAGCUCUUUUGACAAAAUAUUCAAUCACUCACAAAGUGGCGACCCCGUAUCAUCCGCAAACCAGUGGCCAAGUUGAAAUCUCCAAUCGAGAAAUAAAGCACAUAUUAGAAAAGACGGUGAGGCCGGACAGAAAAGAUUGGUCAUUAAGACUUGAUGAUGCCUUAUGGGCAUAUAGAAUGGCUUUCAAGACCCCGAUUGGGAUGUCACCCUACAGGCUAGUGUAUGGAAAAGCUUGCCACCUACCUGUGGAACUCGAGCAUCGUGCAUAUUGGGCCAUCAAGAAAUUCAACUUUGACAUGCAGCAAGCCAGCUCAGAAAGAAGAUUACAACUGGCAGAACUUGAAGAAAUUCGCAAUGAUGCAUACGAAAAUGCCAAGAUUUACAAGCAACGAAUGAAAGUCUUUCAUGACAAGCACAUUAUGAGAAAAUCGUUCACUCCAGGUCAGAAAGUGCUUUUAUUCAAUUCUCGUUUGCACUUAUUCCCAGGUAAGUUACGCUCUCGAUGGUCUGGUCCCUUUAUUGUUCAUACUGUUUUUCCACAUGGGGCAAUUGAAAUUAAGGACCCAAAGAACGGUGUCACGUUUAAAGUUAAUGAUCAAAGAUUAAAGCCAUAUCUUGAGUACCAACCACAUGGAGAAGACACCGAAAUAAAUUUGAGUGACCCACCAGAUUUGAAUUGAUUUUUUCUUUUUGUUGAUUUGAUUUUUCUUUCUUUCUUUUUAUUAUUCUUUUGCUAAUUGAAAUUAUUUUUGCAUAAGUGUGUUUGUUUUACCAUUAAGUUUUUUUUUUCUUAUCAUUGUUAAUCAUGAGUACCAUACUUAGACCGUUCCUCCUGAACAUUCUUAAACCACUUCAACGUGUCAAAACUCAUCUCAAAAAGCAGAUUCAAUUUUGUAAAACACAACGCAUUUGGGCUCUACAACCACCAGAGUUAGUAGCCUAUGUUGAGGGUUUAGAACGCCAACUCAGAGACAUUGAGAGAAGUGUUUACGACAUCCAGUUGGAGCUUGAGGUAAAUUCAAUAAGAGGACGAUUUUAAUUUUCUUUGUGUGUUUUGAUUUGUUUUUUCUGUUUGUGUGCUUUAGUUUGUUACCCCGGUGAAAUGGCAGAUAACGGUACUCCGUGACAAUCAAGUCGGUUACUUCAGUUUCCCACAAUAACUGACAUUCUGAGGCGAAAGUAUGGACAGAAACGAGAUUCUAGCGAAGCUUCACAAGCGAUUCCCUUCACUUCCUCAGAAUGCCCUCCUUACAAUCUAUAAAGCUCGGUCCGAACGCAUGCGAUUACUCAUGAAGAAUAACAUACCUGCUGACAUCCGUUGGUUAAUCGAGGCUAAAGUACGAUCGGCAGGUGAGUUACCUCCAAAAUUUAUUGCAUUCAUGCCUGGUUGUGGUAAAGGAAAUUAUGCAAGAAAACGACGAGCUCGAAGAAUUUCUGUUGCUUGUCAUAAGUGUGCCAAAAUGAGUUGCGAUAGAAACCCAUGUUCUUUAGGAAUGGUGUCUGAUAACAGGGAAGAUAAGAUUCAAUUCAUUAGGGAUGGCUUGAAUAAGGAGUCAUUGGAUGAUAUCCUUUUGUCUCUUGAAACGCAUCCCAGUGGAUAUGUGCAAGGAGCGAUUCUCCGGUUAUGGCCAUUAUUCCAGAAAGAGCAUGCAUGAUAUAGUCUCGGGAAUCUGACUAUAAACGACCCUGUUUGUCAGUUUAUAAGAAAACUGGAUGGGAAGCCGAUCCUCAACCCAUAGAGGGCGUUCAAGCCGUUUCUGGACGUAAAACCAGAGGAAGAUGUGAGCCACAGUUGCAACUACGUGUAAAUAUCCUUUUACUUUACUGUUAUUUUAUUUCAUUUCACUGUUGUUUUAUUGUUUGCAUUAUUGUCUUUAAUAAUUUUGUUAUUGUUUGCUUUUUCCUUUUUACUGUUUCCUUUUUGACUCGCGAGCCACGUGCUUUACGCGUUAUUUGACACUGACAUGUUACCUCAUUCACAGCUAUGAUCCAUUGUCACCAAGAUUUUUAAAUAUAACUUUUUGUUACGAACUCACAAAUUGUUUUUUAGAAGUAUCACAAUGGCAGCUACUCCCAAUAGACAAUUCAAGAACAUUUGUGUGCUUUCUGGAUUUACCUAUGGCAAACAUAAAGAGUUCGUGGAGGCAGCCAUAGAUCUUGGUCGAAGCAUAGCAGCGAGAAAAUUACACUUGGUGUAUGGAGGAGGUAACCGAGGGUUAUCAAAAAUGGUCUCAGAAGCAGCUUUUAUCAGAUGAAGUCAAGUGUUAGGCAUCAUCCCAAGAAUCCUAAAACCAUUGGGCAGUUCGUCUGACUCAUCAACUGGAGAAGAGUUAGUCGUCUCAGGUAUGCAAGAAAGAAUAACUGAAAUGCUUAAUCAUGCUGAUGCUUUUAUUUUCCUUCCAGGAGAUCUUACAACACUAGAGGCACUUAUCACACUAGCAUCUUGGGCCCAUCUGCACAUCCACCAAAAACCCAUCGGUUUGUUAAAUGUCAAUAACUUUUAUGAUGGCUUUAUCGCAUUUCUUAACCAUGCAAUAAAAAACUAUUUCAUUCCUUCUAAUGUGAAAAAACUCUUUAUUUGUGCUCACACUGCUAAUGAGCUACUUGAUAUAUUACAAGCUUAUAAACCGGAGCCAGACCCCUGGACCUUUGUGUUGGAGCGACCAAAUAAUGAUGGUAACAGUAGCCGCAGUAAGAAGUACAAAUUAGAUUUAACUCUCCGCCUGUAAAUAUUUUCUUCUGUGUUGCACCACCCAGGUGAUGUCUUCUAAACUCUACUUCUUUCCUUUAAAACAUUGAGGACAAUGUUUCGUUCUGGUUGGGGGGAGGGAAUAGUCGACAAUUGUGGAAUCUUGGUUAAGUUUUUACUGAUUUUUUGUUGUAGAAACUAACUGUUGCUAACGUUUUGUGUUGAAGAUGGCUGAAUAUGGAGUGUAGUUACUCUAGAAACGCAUCUUCAUCGUUUAAAAAAAAAACAAAAAAAAAAUCGUUUUCUUCCUCUUUCUCCUUUAUAAAUAUAUAUUUUCAAAUUUUUGAGUCGAAGAUGGCUGAAUAUGGAGUGUAGUACCUCUAGAAACGCAUCUUCUUAGUUAAAAAAAAAAAUUUAAUUUUCUACAUCAUUUUCACAUUUCUGCAUGCAUAUUUUCCUUUCAUGUUUAGAAUAGGUUGGGGGGUAGAAUGUUGUUUAAAAAAAAAAUUUGUGUUAUUUGUUUUAACAUUGGAUGACAUGAUUAAUUUCAAAUUUUAGUAUUUGUAUUAUCUUUGGCCUUAAGUGAUGUUACGCUAUGUUUGCUACUUUACAUGUUGAUAUCGGAGACAAAUAUGAGUUGCUUGAAGGAAUGAACAUGUCAUAAAUAAGUGCCAAGUGAGUUGUUGAACCUAUCAUUUUCUUAGAGAGUAACCCUUUUGCCCAUUCUCUAUACAGCUUAGCAGUUUAUUAUUUUAUACACGAUCUCUAGAUUUCUUUUAAGUUAACCCUUUAAAAAAAAUAUGGUAAAAUUAAAAAAAAGAAAAAAGAAAAAAAUGUGUGUUGCUACAUUGGGAGGCCCAUCUAACUAGUAGAUAUGGAUAAUUAUUUAGAGCCCUAAAAGACGAUGAAAAGGCCAUCUUUGAUCCGUUUGAGCCUUUCUAGCCAUCCAUUUUAUUAAAUAUCCAUAGUUACCCCUUUUGAGCCUUUAAAAAAAAAAAAAAAAAAAGAACAAAAACCUUUUCUUUGUCAACUUAUCAUCUUGACCCACUCCGAUUUGGAAUAUUACCCAAUGUCUUUUAAGUUCCAUCACCUAUUUAUGUUUGAGAAAAUGUAAAUAAUUAUGUUGUUCAGUGAAGUUAUGCCAAAUAAAAGCAAAAAGAAAAAAAAAACAAAAACAAAAGUUGUUUCAAAAGAAUAAAAAUAACAAUAAUAGGUGAAAUCCACCUUGCAACUUUAAAAAAAAAAAAAAAAAUUCUGCAUUUUUCUCAAACAUACACUUUGUUUUCCUUAUUUCCUUUCUUUGUUAGCCAUAUCCCUAGCCUACGUUACGUCCUAAUAAAAGUCCUUCUUGAUUUUAGGGAACUAUAGUUUGAAGUAGAAGCUAGUUAUAUGGGCUAAAAAGAUGUAGUGAUGCAUAAUUAAAAAAAAAAGAAAGAUAAAUAAAGUGGGUUGACUAACAUUUUAUUUGACUUGAGAUCGUAUUAUUUCUAAGCUGAGGGCAUAUUUAUUUCAUCUUGGUGAGAGCAUGUGAUAUCAUUUCUUUAUUAUUUUCUCUCUCAAUUACCAUUCAUUGGAGUGACUAUGUUUAUUGGGUUUUAAUUUCUUUGUGAGAGUGUCACUACUUCCAGUGAGAUUUUGGGGUUUGACAUGUCAUUCUUGAAAGUAGCUAUAACAAAGUCUACUGGGCUAAUUCAUGUGGAUGGUUGAUGUGGGUGUGAUGUUGCUUUAGACUGGAGAUAAUGCUUAUACUUUUAUUUGAUUGCUAUAAUUAAUCUGAUUGAAUAAACACGAGUGUUUCUUAAAAAAAAAAAAAAUCAUUUUGAAUUUGAAUUUUGUUUUCGCAUUAUUUGCUAGGGACUAGCAAUAAGCUGGUUGGGGGGUGUGUUGAGUGUUAGAAAAUGCAUAUUUAUAAAGGAGAAAAUCGUCAUUUUACAUUUCAAGUCUUACUAACAACCCUUACUUUUAUGUAUUUAACCUUCUUGUGAUGUAAUUACGUGUGUGUUAUUUUAAUUAUGUAUUUUAGGGGUAUUAUAGUCAUUUCACAAUAAAGGAGAGAUCAGACGGCAAAACGGACAUCACUUUUGAACUCAGGACGGUCGAAAACCUUAGGAGGAGCAUAAAAGGAAAAAUGGCACUACUCACAUGUACGGUACUAUUCACGUAUACGGUACUGUCUACGUUACUGUUCACGACACUGUUUACAUAGAUGGAUCGAUGACGUGGCAUUGACUGAUGAUGUGGCAUUGACUGAUGAGGUGUCACGAUCCUGUUGGACUAAACUUCUUAUGUACUGUUGAUGGUGACGUGGCAGCAUAUCAGUGGACGAAAAAUCUCGCGUACGGUGCAUGCAUCACACAGGAUUAUUUUCAACCAAACCGCGUUACUGUUCAUCUGGGUCAAACCGUGUUACUAUUCAUCCACGUGGUCAAACCGUGGACUGUUGACUGAUGACGUGGCGCAAUCCUGAGCGUCCAAACUGUUUUUAAUCCGAUGGCCAUGAUUUACUCCAUGUAUCUAUAAAAAGGGGGCCUCCCCCCCCUAAUUUGAUAUCUCUGAAUCUAUUUUUGGGAUCCAUUUUCUGUAAUUCUCUCUCCAUCUUGUAUUUUCUACGUAUUUUAAUAAAUUCCCAUUUUGCCCCUAGUUCAAUUAUGAGUAGCUAAUUUUCUUUCAAGCUUGGGUUGAAAGUGAAGUCUCAACAUGUGUCAUGGGCUUAAUUUGGUAAAUUUAUUUUCUCUUCCCCUCUAGUUUUUGUGGAUGUUUUGACUUCUCGUCGACAAAUAAUAAUAAUCUUGUCUAGAUACCGCCUUGGUUACACCGGCUCUCUAGUAUAAGGUUAUUAUUAUUUGGCACGAUAAGCCCUUAGCACCAUAUUGAUUAGAGCGUGGUUCAUGAGGUGUGGAUUCCCCCCUCAUGAUUUAAUUGGCAUUAAUACGGAUUAUUUAGCCCAUGAUGCAUGUUGAUACGGAUCCAGAUACCCAAGUACGUCAUUUCAAUACAUUUCUCUUCAAUUUAUUCUUGCCAUUUCAAUUCCAAUUUCAGCAUUUAUUCUCGCCAUUUUAAUUUAAGUUUUAGCAUAUUCCAAAUCAUUUCCACCACAGAUCCAAUCAACCAUUUGUAAAAUUAAUUCUAUACACAAUUAAAAUCCACCUCCUCGUGGGAUCGACACUCGUCACCAUUGAUCUAUACUACAAUAGAUUCGUGCACUUGCGAGUACAUUAAAAUUUGCACAACACUUACUACAUCACAUGGUACUGGCUCAACAUAUACCCCGUGGCAAUACUGUUCGAACCAAACCUGAUCCAUACCAGCCGAAGAUACGGUAAAGGAAGAUGGUUCGAUCGAAUGUUCGCCCCCAUCUUUGAAGAUGUCCUCACACUAAAGCUCAUCAACGGUUAUCACAUCACCCACUCUACAAUAGUGAUCGUGAAACUCACAGAUAUUUGGGGACGGUACAAAGAGCCUUUCAUACAGGUAGUCCAACAUGACCACUCCCAUGAAGAAAUCGAUUCCAUGUGGACUGGUUGCUGGAACGCUAGGCAAGCCUUAGCAGAGGUAUACGGGACUGUUCCCAUGUACAACACCCACAGUCCAGUAUCCCCACAAGUCUGCAGUACUCCAGACCUUUACUACAGAGAGGAGAUACGAAAUCUCAAACUACAUGGAGACGAAGACGAAGCAGCCGACAUGCAGCAUAAGUAUAAUGACUACCUUUCCCGACAUGGCAGGCCACAAGACAUCACCUAUCUAGAUACCCCAGAUAUUGACAGAUGGAGGAACGAACUUGAAGAUAUGGCCAACUGGCCAGACCUCCAAGAAUGGCCCCAGCCAGAACUAAACCCACAGCCAGACCCGAUUUGGCCCAAUAUUGGAGAAGACAUGGACGCCGCAUCUGAAGAACGAUGGAACCAUCGGUCAGGACGUAGCACGCCAACUAGUGGCAACUCUGGACUGUAGCGGAAGCUUAGUGGACCCCGCAGUGGAAACAUUGGUGAUAAUAAUAUAGUGUAUUUGUAUUCGUAUGUAUUAUGUACCAUCCUUAGAGAUAAGGAUAAGAGUGUGAGUGUGACAUAAAGUAAAGGAGUGAGUUGUAAAGUAGAUUCCUUUGUGAUAAGGUUUAGUGUGAGUGUGAUAUAAAGUAAAGGAGUGAGUUGUAAAGUAUAUUCCUUUAUGAUAAGGUUUAAUAAUGUCUACAGUAUGUAAUAGUGGUUCCCUUGUGCCUAUAAAAGGGAACCCUUGGUUUGUUGAUAGGGAUCGAGUCUUGGAGUGCAAUAUUGUAUUGUAAAUCUCUCAUUCUUCUUAAUGAAAGUAACCUUCCUCUGUUUGCUCUAAGCAUCUGUUUUUGUAUAUUUGUAUUCGUAUGUAUUAUGUUUGCUCUGUUUGCUCUGUUUGCUCUAAGUAACCUUCCUCUCGCUCUGAUACCAAAAAAUCUGUUUUGCUUUCUUUUGUCGGCCAGGAUUACAAGAGCACAUUUUGUCUGUAUGUUGGCAACCAAAUUUGUUUGGUUCCUCAUUACAGAAUUUUUGCAGAGAGGAUUUCUCAAUCUGCUUCAUGUGUCUUCGUAAAUCUUGAGAUCUGCAGUGGCUUUGAAUAAGCUCCAUUGCAAUCUGGUAGAGCUGGGCAAGGCUGAGCUGUGCUAAAUCAGUAAUUGCAUCAGCUUUGAAUUUGGCCUCCAUCAUUUCUGCAACUAGGCCUGACAUGUUUAGCACAAAUGUCCUGUGUAUGGUAUCGGAUUGUUUGUCAAAGAUGUAGUACAACCUUUCCUGCUCCAGGUAGUACUCUUCCAUUUUCCGAACAUCACAACACUUGUUUUGGAGAAAUUGCUUUUCAGCAACCUCUUCUUCUCUUGUGAAAUGGCCUAGAAAAUCCAAGGAUAGAUUUUCAACUAGGCUUCCAUAAGGAUCUUGUCUGCUGAGAAUGAAUUGUCGUUGCUCACCAGUAAGCUUUCGUCCCCACCAUCGUCUUAGCGAUCCAACAAAUCCUGCUACCAGCCGUAAUGCGGCUGAUCUUCUGCUUAACUGGGGGCUCUUUGACAUUCUCCUUCAUACCAUGCUACCAUUUUCUUAAAAUAAGCCAGCCUUUCUUUAGGCUUCAUUCCAUCAAUGUUCCAGAACAUCUUUCCGGUUGUGGAAUGUCCGAGUUGUACUCGGGUUUCCCAUUCUUCUCCUUGAUUGACUUCAUCUAUAUACGGGGCAUGAUCAGUAGGUGCAUCAGCCGGAUUGGAGGAGGCUUCUGUAGCUGCUGGUUCUGUGAAUUCAGGGGCAGUGAAUUGUGUUGUCCCUGAUGGGUUUUAAGUUUGCCUUGUAGGAUCAGAGGUUUGCCCAGGUGUUGUUGUUGAAGCUGCAAAUCUGGUACGUGUAUCCACAUAAAAUGGAUUUGUAGGAUUAGCUCUCUGCAUUAAAAUAGGAAUUGGAGGGUUCUCCGUAGAAGAGAUGCUUGAGCUAUCAUCAGUAUCUGUUUCCUCAUCCCACCCAGUAGCCUUCUGGGGCCAUGGGUAUUGAGGAGGAGGAGCAUAGCUUCUCCAAAAUGCUUUCUGGCAAUUCCCAGAUGCAUUUUCCUCCCAGAUGUGCCCUGGUUUUGUAGGCUUGCUCUUCCAGUGCCUGGACACCUUUAGUCGUUGACAACUCUCCCUUGUCCUUCUCAUUUCAUCUUCGUCUACUGCUCCGGUCAUCACAAUCAUGUUGACUGACCUGGAGGCACUUUCAUGUAGUUGAGAGAACUGUUGGGUGGACAUUUUAUGCUGUUUUUUAUUUUUCUUUAGCUGUUUUCUGAUUACAGCUAAGUCAGCAAGAAUCUGCUGUUGAGUGACCAUGAUGUCUCCCAAGGCUUGGUUUUGUUCCACAGCAUUGAUGUUUGACCAGUUGAUUGCCUUCUCAAUUGGGCCGAACUCUGUUGGGUUAGUUUUCUGUAUUACCCAUUUGGCAGCAUACAUUCCUCCGGGGAUAUCUUUUAUGAACUCAUUAUCAAGAUCCGGAGUGGUAAUCAUGUUUACUGGACCCAUGAUUCUGCAGGAGGUAGUUCUUCUUGGCAUAUGUGUGCACAAGAAGGGAUGCUUUCCCUCAAGCUGGCAUUUUUCACAUGGAUAGAGAGCUUUAGUCUCUGUGGGGAAAGAGACUGAUACUCUUCCUUCUUGUAGCCUGCUUAUCUUUGGGAUCUCAUGGAUUUGUUGAGGCCUGUUGUUUUUCUCAUACUCAUUAAUCCAUUGUGGUGGAAAAAUGAGUUGGUUUUACCUAUAAGUCCUGGGUUGAAAGACUCUGCCAUCACCAGCAAGAAAUCUGGUAAUAGGCCUGCCAGAGCUACUCAUAGAGAACAGAUGGGUUUGGACUUUAUAGGUCAUAGUGUGGUGGAUUGCCAAGGCAGAUUCAUCAGGUUUCAUGGUUAGACCAUUGACCUGAAUUAAUACCUUAAUGGCAUCUGUGAGGGAUGGCUUGUGUAUAUCAAGGGUAAAAUUUGGCUCAACUUGGAGAACAAGAUGGCCUUGGUUGAGUCCUGCUUCAACAGCAGUAAUUAAAGCCUUUUCAAAAGUUUGCCAUCUGGUGUCGAGAAUGGCAAUAAAACAUGUAAUAUCUUUUCCAGCUAGGAAUAAAGGUUGUAUCCUUAUCUGGAUUGCUCCAAGGUGUAGUCCCUUGUAUCCCUGAAGUUUAUACCUUGUAAUCUCGCUGGAAGAGAUUAUGGGAAGGUAUGUUUCUUUUGAGCUUGAGGAGAUUGACUGGACAGUGAUUUCAGAGGAUUUGUAGAUGGUUUUUAGCUUAGGUUGUCUUAUGGGGAUUAUGGCUCUUAGGUGGUUAAGAGUAGGGCUAAUAUGGUAGUAUCUGUAAGGAUCUAACGGAUCAAGUCUGAAGGACUGAACUGCUCUCUCACUAUUUUCAUCCCCUUGGGUUUCAUAAUGAAAGUUUACAGAGGGUAAACUAUCAGUUGGUACUCUGAUGGCCGAAGUAGAUGGUUGGUCAGAAAUUGGUUGGUUACUGGAUCUGUUACUGUUUUGGGUUUCCAUGGCUAAAAGAAAUCAGAGGGUUUUCCUUGGGGUGAUAAGCCCUAAAACACGGCACUUCUUGGCCUUCUCAAGGGGGCGCCGCACCUUACAAAAUUUACUCUGUACUGUUUUAGUAUGGAAAGUUUAGACAGGCAGACUAGUAUCCAACAACUUUAUGAUGUGGAGGAUCCGAAGUAUUUCGGCAACCACAGAGCAUAGUAUUGUUGCACACCCAGGGGUUUCCUUUUGGGAAAUAUGGCUCUGAUACCAAAAAAUCUGUUUUAGAGCAAACAGAGGAAGGUUACUUUCAUUAAGAGGAAUGAGAGAUUUAAAAUACAAUAUUGCACUCCAAGACUCGAUGCCUAUCAAUAAACCAAGGGUUCCCUUUUAUAGGCACAAGGGAACCACUAUUACAUACUGUAGACAUUAUUAAACCUUAUCACAAAGGAAUCUACUUUACAACUCACUCCUUUACUUUAUAUCACACUCACACUAAACCUUAUCACAAAGGAAUCUACUUUACAACUCACUCCUUUACUUUAUGUCAUACUCACACGCUUAUCCUUAUCUCUAAGGAUGGUAAACAAUACAUAUGAAUACAAAUACACUAUAUUAUUAUUGGUGGCCCAUGCAGGUCUGACUUCUACAGUAUUGGAUACAAAUCUAGAAAGGAAAUCCGCUACAGUAUUGGAUUCUCCUUUGAUGUGUCUGACUUCGAACUUAAAUCUCGAGAGAGAUUCGGACAACCUUGCUAGUUGUGGAUCUGGGAUUUCUCCUUCUUUUCUUCUGAUCAAUCCCAGCAGGUACUUAUAAUCUGUUUCAAUCAUAAAGGGGGUUAGAGAGAGAAAGAAUUGAAACUUCUUGAUCCCUUUGGUGACUGCUAAGACUUCUUUCUUUGAGGAUGGGUAGUGGCUUUGAGCGACACCAGAUGGCAAACUUUUGAAAAGGCUUUAAUUACUGCUGUUGAAGCAGGACUCAACCAAGGCCAUGUUGUUCUCCAAGUUUAGCCAAAUUUUACCCUUGAUAUACACAAGCCAUCCCUCACAGAUGCCAUUAAGGUAUUAAUUCAGGUCAAUGGUCUAACCAUGAAACCUGAUGAAUCUGCCUUGGCAAUCCACUACACUAUGACCUAUAAAGUCCAAACCCAUCUGUUCUCUAUGAGUAGCUCUGGCAGGCCUAUUACCAGAUUUCUUGUUGGUGAUGGUAGAGUCUUUCAACCCAGGACUUAUAGGCAAAACCAACUCAUUUUUCCACCACAAUGGAUUAAUGAGUAUGAGAAAAACAACAGGCCUCAACAAAUCCAUGAAAUCCCAAAGAUAAGCAGGCUACAAGAAGGAAGAGUAUCAGUCUCUUUCCCCACAGAGACUAAAGCUCUCUAUCCAUGUGAAAAAUGCCAGCUUGAAGGAAAGCAUCCCUCCUUGUGCACACAUAUGCCAAGAAGAACUACCUCCUGCAGAAUCAUGGGUCCAGUAAACAUGAUUACCACUUCGGAUCUUGAUAAUAAGUUCAUAAAAGAUAUCCCCGGAGGAAUGUAUGCUGCCAAAUGGGUAAUACAGAAAACUAACCCAACAGAGUUCGGCCCAAUUGAGAAGGCAAUCAACUGGUCAAACAUCAAUGCUGUGGAACAAAACCAAGCCUUGGGAGACAUCAUGGUCACUCAACAGCAGAUUCUUGCUGACUUAGCUGUAAUCAGAAAACAGCUAAAGAAAAACAAAAAACAGCAUAAAAUGUCCACCCAACAGUUCUCUCAACUACAUGAAAGUGCCUCCAGGUCAGUCAACAUGAUUGUGAUGACUGGAGCAGCAGACCAAGAUGAAAUGAGAAGGACAAGGGAGAGUUAUCAACAACCAAAGGUGUCCAGGCACUGGAAGAGCAAGCCUACUAAACCAUGGCACAUCUGGGAGGAAAAUGCAUCUGGGAAUUGCCAGAAAGCAUUUUGGAGAAGCUAUGCUCCUCCUCCUCAAUACCCAUGGCCCCAGAAGGCUACUGGGUGGGACGAGGAAACAGAUACUGAUGAUAGCUCAAGCAUCUCUUCUACGGAGAACCCUCCAAUUCCUAUUCUAAUGCAGAGAGCUAAUCCUACAAAUCCAUUUUAUGUGGAUACACGUACCAGAUUUGCAGCUUCAACAACAACACCUGGCCAAACCUCUGAUCCUACAAGGCAAACUCAAAACCCAUAAGGGACAACACAAUUCACUGCCCCUGAAUUCACAGAACCAGCACCUACAGAAGCCUCCUCCAAUCCGGCUGAUGCACCUACUGAUCGUGCCCCUCAUAUAGAUGAAGUCAAUCAAGGAGAAGAAUGGGAAACCCGAGUACAACUCGGACAUUCCACAACCGGAAAGAUGUUCUGGAACAUUGAUGGAAUGAAGCCUAAAGAAAGGCUGGCUUAUUUUGAGAAAAUGGUAGCAUGGUAUGAAGGAGAAUGUCAAAGAGCCCCCCAGUUGAGCAGAAGAUCAGCCGCAUUACGGCUGGUAGCAGGAUUUGUUGGAUCGCUAAGACGAUGGUGGGGACGAAAGCUUACUGGUGAGCAACGACAAUUCAUUCUCAGCAUAGAAGAUCCUUGUGGAAGCCUAGUUGAAAAUCUAUCCUUGGAUUUUCUAGGCCAUUUCACAAGAGAAGAAGAGGUUGCUGAAAAGCAAUUUCUCCAAAACAAGUGUUGUGAUGUUCGGAAAAUGGAAGAGUACUACCUGGAGCAAGAAAGGUUGUACUACAUCUUUGACAAACAAUCCGAUACCAUACACAGGACAUUUGUGCUAAACAUGCCAGGCCCAGUUGCAGAAAUGAUGGAGGCCAAAUUCAAAGCUGAUGCAAUUACUGAUUUAGCACAGCUCAGCCUUGCCCAGCUCUACCAGAUUGCAAUGGAGUUUAUUCAAAGCCACUGCAGAUCUCAAGAUUUACGAAGACACAUGAAGCAGAUUGAGAAAUCCUCUCUGCAAAAAUUCUGUAAUGAGGAACCAAACAAAUUUGGUUGCCAACAUACAGACAAAACGUGCUCUUGUAAUUCUGGCAGACAAAAGAAAGCAAAACGCCCCUGGAAACCAUACAAAGGGAAAAAAAUACCGUUUCAUCAAAAAAUGGAAACACAAGAAAGGCUCUGGCAGAUGUUUCAUCGGUGGCAAGAAAGGCCACUAUGCUAAACAAUGUAAAUCCAAAAAGAAACUCCCAGCCAAACUCAUCCAGCUGAUCCAGCAAGAUGAUUUUGAUGACGACAUUUAUACCUGGUCCGAUAGCCCCUUUGGUGCUGUCUAUACUCUUGAUGAAUAUCCUCUUUCUGAUUCUGAGGAUACUGCUUCUACAACGGACGGUGAUUCCCCCGAUGAUGAUGAUGAUGACACUGUUCUCACUGUUCGAGAACCUCUACAAGUUACUUCUGCCAUACAACGGUCUUCCCACUUCCGACCACACAUCAAAGUCAUCCUCAAUCCCUCUGAAGAUAGCCAGGUAGCUCUUACUGCUCUCAUUGACAGAGGAGCUAUGUGCUCAUUUAUCCGAGAAGCCUGUGUUCCCCGAUAAUUCUAUGUUCCUACUAAGGUUUCUUUCGGAUCCGCCAGUGGCAGGGAUUUCUACAGCAAAAAGGUUACUCGUCCUAUCGAGAUCCAACCUUUUAUGAUCCAGCAUGGAUUCUUUGCCUUUGACUAUUCCGGCGAAGAUAUCCUCCUUGGCACCGACUUUCUCCGUCUGGUUGCCCCUUUUGCCUUCUUUCCUGAAGGAUUCUCUUACACCAUCCGCAAUCCAGUCGAUGGUUCUCAGCAUACUUUUCAAGUUCCUUGGGUUGAAAAGCAAUACAUUUUUGGAGAGGGUGGAAAACUAACAAACUACCCAAUCCAUAAAUAUGAACCCCAAAUUAAGGAACUCCUUGAAUGCUGUGCCGAAGUACCAAACCAGUUCUGGGCUAGAGAACAAUACUUUGUGUCUCUACCAUAUAAAGAUGGAUGGACCAUGCCUCACCAGACAACCUCUCAUCCAGGCAUGCCCCAUGACGAAGAAUUGUGCAAAUCAGAGAUCCAGGCCCUUAUGGAUCUAAAGCUCAUCAGGCCCUCUAAGUCUCAUUGGGCCAGCCCAGCAUUCUAUGUCAACAAGCAUUCAGAACAAAUACGUGGAAAGAAGCGAUUGGUGAUAGACUACCGAAAGCUAAAUGAUUGCUUGCAAGACAUAAGGUACCCGAUUCCACGGAGGACGCAUCUUUUGAAACGCAUCGCUGGAGCAAAGGUGUUCUCAAAGUUUGACAUGAAGUCAGGCUUUUGGCAAAUUGGAAUCAAGGAAGAAGACAGACACAAGACAGCAUUUGUGGUCCCCCAUGGGCAUUAUGAAUGGAACGUGAUGCCUUUCGGCCUAAAGAAUGCACCGUCAGAAUUCCAAAACAGAAUGGAUGAGGUGUACAAAUCUAUUUCAGAAUUCUGCCUUAUCUACAUCGAUGAUGCCCUUAUCUUCAGCAACAGUGAGGAAGAACAUGCUGAACACCUGUCUCAAUUCAAAGCUCUUACCUAUAAACAUGGGUUGGCUUUGUCAGAACCAAAGAUGAAGAUAUGACUUGAUGAGGUAGACUUUUUGGGACUACACAUCAAAUAGGGAUUCAUCAUUCCUCAGCCACAUAUUGCUGAAAAAAUAUCCCAGUUCCCAGACCAGCUGUCAACCAGAAAGCAAAUCCAACAAUUCCUCGGGAUAAUCAAUUAUGCAGCAGACCAUGUGCAGAACUUGUCAAAGAUGACGAGUCAGAUAUCAAAGCACUUAAAGAAGGGUGCCCCACAAUGGUCGGAAGAAGCGACAAAGGUUGUGACAGACUUAAAGCAAAAGUGCCAGUCACUUCCACCAUUAAAGAUACCUGACAAAGGACAGCUCAUCUUACAGACAGACGCUAGUGACCAUUAUUGGGGAGCACUAUUGAUAGAGGAAUCCGAGGGAAACAGGAGAGUCAGUGGCUAUAAAUCUGGCCAGUUCAACGACGCUCAAAGCCACUACCCAUCCUCAAAGAAAGAAGUCUUAGCAGUCACCAAAGGGAUCAAGAAGUUUCAAUUCUUUCUCUCUCUAACCCCCUUUGUGAUUGAAACAGAUUACAAGUACCUCCUGGGAUUGAUCAAAAGAAAAGAAGGAGAAAUCCCAGAUCCACAACUAGCAAGGUGGUCCGAAUCUCUCUCGAGAUUUAAGUUCGAAGUCAGACACAUCAAAGGAGAAUCCAAUACUGUAGCGGAUUUCCUUCUAGACCAAUCACCAUGAUCACAAGAAGAAGCCUCCCGAGACGAUGGGAAGAAGGCAGCUCCAGUGCUCAUGAAAACAGAGCACACUUUCUCAAAGAUCUCAAUACUUUUAUUGCAUGGCUUCCUUCUGAAGUACAGGAAGACAUCUUUGAGAAGAUCAUCUCUCACAGGAGAGAUCCGGAAGAUCAGGCUCUGACAUGGCGGGUAUGGCAGCUCAUGGCCAUGCAAGAACACAAACCUGCCCAUAACAAGAAGUGCCAAAGAGCCUCCGAUCCGCAUCCAAACCCGGACCAGAUGCAUGAAACUAUCUUCAAGGUUGGUUGCACUUUUCACUAUGUGAUAGAUGAGAACUCCAAUUGGGGUCAUUAUGUCAUUUGCGACAUAACCCCUCAAGCUUACUAUAUCACAUGGUACUGGCUCAACAUAUACCCCGUGGCAAUACUGUUCGAACCAAACCUGAUCCAUACCAGCCGAAGAUACGGUAAAGGAAGAUGGUUCGAUCGAAUGUUCGCCCCCAUCUUUGAAGAUGUCCUCACAUUAAAGCUCAUCAACGGUUAUCACAUCACCCACUCUACAAUAGUGAUCGUGAAACUCACAGAUAUUUGGGGACGGUACAAAGAGCCUUUCAUACAGGUAGUCCAACAUGACCACUCCCAUGAAGAAAUCGAUUCCAUGUGGACUGGUUGCUGGAACGCUAGGCAGGCCUUAGCAGAGGUAUACGGGACUGUUCCCAUGUACAACACCCACAGUCCAGUAUCCCCACAAGUCUGCAGUACUCCAGACCUUUACUACAGAGAGGAGAUACGAAAUCUCAAACUACAUGGAGACGAAGACGAGGCAGCCGACAUGCAGCAUAAGUAUAAUGACUACCUUUCCCGACAUGGCAGGCCACAAGACAUCACCUAUCUGGAUACCCCAGAUAUUGACAGAUGGAGGAACGAACUUGAAGAUAUGGCCAACUGGCUAGACCUCCAAGAAUGGCCCCAGCCAGAACUAAACCCACAGCCAGACCCGAUUUGGUCCAAUAUUGGAGAAGACAUGGACGCCGCAUCUAAAGAACGAUGGAACCAUCGGUCAGGACGUAGCACGCCAACCAGUGGCAACUCUGGACUGUAGCGGAAGCUUAGUGGACCUUGCAGUGGAAGCAUUGGUGAUAAUAAUAUAGUGUAUUUGUAUUCGUAUGUAUUAUGUACCAUCCUUAGAGAUAAAGAUAAGAGUGUGAGUGUGACAUAAAGUAAAGGAGUGAGUUGUAAAGUAGAUUCCUUUGUGAUAAGGUUUAGUGUGAGUGUGAUAUAAAGUAAAGGAGUGAGUUGUAAAGUAAAUUCCUUUGUGAUAAGGUUUAAUAAUGUCUACAGUAUGUAAUAGUGGUUCCCUUGUGCCUAUAAAAGGGAACCCUUGGUUUGUUGAUAGGCAUCGAGUCUUGGAGUGCAAUAAUGUAUUGUAAAUCUCUCAUUCUUCUUAAUGAAAGUAACCUUCCUUUGUUUGCUCUAAAACAGAUUUUUUGAGCCUGCCAGAGCUACUCAUUAAAGAUAUCCCCGGAGGAAAGGCUCUUUGUACCGUCCCCAAAUAUCUGUGAGUUUCACGAUCACUAUUGUAGAGUGGGUGAUGUGAUAACCGUUGAUGAGCUUUAGUGUGAGGACAUCUUCAAAGAUGGGGGCGAACAUUCGAUCGAAUCAUCUUCCUUUACCGUAUCUUCGGCUGGUAUGGAUCAGGUUUGGUUCGAACAGUAUUGUCACGGGGUAUAUGUUGAGCCAGUACCAUGUGAUGUAGUAAGCUUGAGGGGUUAUGUCGCAAAUGACAUAAUGACCCCAAUUGGAGUUCUCAUCUAUCACAUAGUGAAAAGUGCAACCAACCUUGAAGAUAGUUUCAUGCAUCUGGUCCAGGUUUGGAUGCGGAUCGAAGGCUCUUUGGCACUUCUUGUUAUGGGCAGGUCUGUGUUCUUGCAUGGCCAUGAGCUGCCAUACCCGCCAUGUCAGAGUCUGAUCUUCCGGAUCUCUCUUGUGAGAGAUGAUCUUCUCAAAGAUGUCUUCCUGUACUUCAGAAGGAAGCCAUGCAAUAAAAGUAUUGAGAUCUUUGAGAAAGUGUGCUCUGUUUUCAUGAGCACUGGAGCUGCCUUCUUCCCAUCGUGUCGGGAGGCUUCUUCUUGUGAUCAUGGUGAUUGGUCUAGAAAGGAAAUCCGCUACAAUAUUGGAUUCUCCUUUGAUGUGUCUGACUUCGAACUUAAAUCUCGAGAGAGAUUCGGACCACCUUGCUAGUUGUGGAUCUGGGAUUUCUCCUUCUUUUCUUCUGAUCAAUCCCAGGAGGUACUUGUAAUCUGUUUCAAUCACAAAGGGGGUUAGAGAGAGAAAGAAUUGAAACUUCUUGAUCCCUUUGGUGACUGCUAAGACUUCUUUCUUUGAGGAUAGGUAGUGGCUUUGAGCGUCGUUGAACUGGCCAGAUUUAUAGCCACAGACUCUCCUGUUUCCCUCGGAUUCUUCUAUCAAUAGUGCUCCCCAAUAAUGGUCACUAGCAUCUGUCUGUAAGAUGAGCUGUCCUUUGUCAGGUAUCUUUAAUGGUGGAAGUGACUGGCACUUUUGCUUUAAGUCUGUCACAGCCUUUGUCGCUUCUUCCGACCAUUGUGGGGCACCCUUCUUUAAGUGCUUUGAUAUCUGACUCGUCAUCUUUGACAAGUUCUGCACAUGGUCUGCUGCAUAAUUGAUUAUCCCGAGGAAUUGUUGGAUUUGCUUUCUGGUUGACAGCUGGUCUGGGAACUGGGAUAUUUUUUCAGCAAUAUGUGGCUGAGGAAUGAUGAAUCCAUGUUUAAUGUGUAGUCCCAAAAAGUCUACCUCAUCAAGUCCUAUCUUCAUCUUUGGUUCUGACAAAGCCAACCCAUGUUUAUAGGUAAGAGCUUUGAAUUGAGACAGGUGUUCAGCAUGUUCUUCCUCACUGUUGCUGAAGAUAAGGGCAUCAUCGAUGUAGAUAAGGCAGAAUUCUGAAAUGGAUUUGUACACCUCAUCCAUUCUGUUUUGGAAUUCUGACAGUGCAUUCUUUAGGCCGAAAGGCAUCACGUUCCAUUCAUAAUGCCCAUGGGGGACCACAAAUGCUGUCUUGUGUCUGUCUUCUUCCUUGAUUCCAAUUUGCCAAAAGCCUAACUUCAUGUCAAACUUUGAGAACACCUUUGCUCCAGCAAUGCGUUUCAAAAGAUGCGUCCUCCGUGGAAUCGGGUACCUUAUGUCUUGCAAGCAAUAAUUUAGCUUUCGGUAGUCUAUCACCAAUCGCUUCUUUCUACGUAUUUGUUCUAAAUGCUUGUUGACAUAGAAUGCUGGGCUGGCCCAAUGAGACUUAGAGGGCCUGAUGAGCUUUAGAUCCAUAAGGGCCUGGAUCUCUGAUUUGCACAAUUCUUCGUCAUGGGGCAUGCCUGGAUGAGAGGCUGUCUGGUGAGGCAUGGUCCAUCCAUCUUUAUAUGGUAGAGACACAAAGUGUUUCUCUUUUAUAGGCACAAGGGAACCACUAUUACAUAAUGUAGACAUUAUUAAACCUUAUCACAAAGGAAUCCACUUUACAACUCACUCCUUUACUUUAUGUCACACUCACACUAAACCUUAUCACAAAGGAAUCUACUUUACAACUCACUCAUUUACUUUAUGUCACACUCACACUCUUAUCCUUAUCUCUAAGGAUGGUACAUAAUACAUACGAAUACAAAUACACUAUAUUAUUAUCACCAAUGCUUCCACUGCGGGGUCCACUAAGCUUCUGCUACAGUCCAGAGUUGCCACUGGUUGGUGUGCUACAUCCUGACCGAUGGUUCCAUCGUUCUUCAGAUGCGGCGUCCAUAUCUUCUCCACUCUGCCAUCACUAGCAAGAAAUCUGGUAAUAGGCCUGCCAGAGCUACUCAUAGAGAACAGAUGGGUUUGGACUUUAUAGGUCAUAGUGUGGUGGAUUGCCAAGGCAGAUUCAUCAGGUUUCAUGGUUAGACCAUUGACCUGAAUUAAUACCUUAAUGGCAUCUGUGAGGGAUGGCUUGUGUAUGUCAAGGGUAAAAUUUGGCUCAACUUGGAGAACGACAUGGCCUUGGUUGAGUCCUGCUUCAACAGCAGUAAUUAAAGCCUUUUCAAAAGUUUGCCAUUUGGUGUCGAGAAUGGCAAUAAAACAUGUAAUAUCUUUUCCAGCUAGGAAUAAGGGUUGUAUCCCUAUCUGGAUUGCUCCAAGGUGUAGUCCCUUGUAUCCCUGAAGUUUAUACCUUGUAAUCUCGCUAGAAGAGAUUAUGGGAAGGUAUGUUUCUUUUGAGCUUGAGGAGAUUGACUGGACAGUGAUUUCAGAGGAUUUGUAGAUGGUUUUUAGCUUAGGUUGUCUUAUGGGGAUUAUGGCUCUUAGGUGGUUAAGAGUAGGGCUAAUAUGGUAGUAUCUGUAAGGAUCUAACGGAUCAAGUCUGAAGGACUGAACCGCUCUCUCACUAUUUUCAUCCUCUUGGAUUUCAUAAUGAAAGUUUACAGAGGGUGAACUAUCAGUUGGUACUCUGAUGGCCGAAGGUAUAAUCAAGUAACAGAUCCACAUAAAAAUCAAACAACAAACUGAAUCGACAUGUAAUUGACAAAAUUAAUGGCAUAAUCAAACUGCCAUUAUCAGUUGAACUUAAUUUUUAUAUAUACUUGCAUAUUUGGCUCCUCGACAAUACGCGCAUUAAAGUCAGUAAAUAAAUAGAACAGAAUAAACAAGAAUAUUUCAUAUCAUAAAAUAUCUGAAGAUAUUUAUGAAUAAAAAUAUCAGCACUCCUACUGAACAGCAUCACAGUUGAAGCUAAUAUUACUCUUUUAGAAAACAAAAAAAAGAAAAGAAAUGAAUUUGAGAUUAAAAUAUUAUAUAGUUAACUUAACGGUGAUACGUCGAUUCAGAUCAGCAUAAUUCAUCGUUCCCUGCGGUCGUAAAUCAGACGCGAGACUUCAUUUUCAUUACAUGUUAACCAAAAAAAAAAAAACGACAAAGGAUAUUGCGUUUUACCAGAGAAUUGAAAGAAGAAGAAGAAGAAGAAGGCUUCCGUUGAUUGGAUCUGAAGGUUUGCAAAGGCAAAGCUGAGGAUCUGAAAAAUUAACAAAAAAUAAAAAUAAAAAAAUGAAAACUAAUUACGGAGAAUUAAUAAAAAUAAAAAUAAAAAUAACAAUAUUAAAAAAAAAGCGUGAUGGGGACAAAAGUACAGCAGUUCACAUGCAUAACUCUCUCUCUCUCUGACCCAAGGUAACAAGCCAUGAAUGCUAAACUUACUCUGGGACACAGUAACCAUAUGUUCCGAUUACUCUAGUUGAAACAUGUGUAUUAUCACCGACAGGUCCGAGUUUGGCAAGCCCAAAAUCAGAGAAUUUUGGAUUGAAGUCAUUAUCCAGAAAAAUAUUUGCAGACUUCAAAUCCCGUAAAUGACAAAAGGAUUGGCCUUGCAAUGUAGAUACUCAAGGCCCUGAGCAGCACUGACUGUAAUUUUCAUGUGAGUGUUCCAACUCAUUAGCUCUUGAUCAGGUUGAAUGCAAGUAGUUAAUUAAAGUAACAGGCGAAGGUUGGGCUCUUCCUUUGCAGCUGACUCAACAACCUCAGAAGUUGGUUUGGCUUGGACUUCGACUUCGACUUGGAUUACUUUGAUGUGGAUUGAGUUUGGGGAUGAGUGGUAGCCGGAGGAGAGACUAAGGGAAGUUGAGAGAGAGAGCGAUGGAUUUCUAGUUGUCUGUUCUGCUGUUUAGAGUUAUGCGUUUUUUUUAAUCUUUUUAAUAAUUAAAAAAUUUUAGAAGAAAUGCAUACACAGAGAGUGAUGCCUAUGAACUGCUCUACUUUUUUGUCAUUUAAAUGCUUUUUCUUUUUUAAUUUUUAAUAAUACUAAAUGAUUAGAGCACUGAGAGAAGGAGAGAGGUGAAACGGCAAUACAAGCUGUCGUUUCUCUCACUUUUCUCUCAGUGUUCUAGACAACCAGCAGCUCUCAAGAGAGAGAGUGAUAGAGAAAAAAAAUUUAUAUGCAGUUUUCUUUACUUUUGUAAUAAUUUUAUAGUUAUUACUGCAAAGAGAAGACAACCACCGAAGGGCAAUAAUUUUACCAUUAUUAUUAAACUAUGCUUAGAAGAGAUUUGCUCCCAUGAAAAAGACAAAAAGGAGGAAAAAGGAAAGCAUAUUUUCUAUUUUGGGAAAAAGAAUUUUGUACAAACACGAAAGUUAGUGUUUUUUUUGUUUUUUUUUAUUUUAUUUUUAAAGGGGUAGAAAAAUACUAAAAUUUGUGGUUAAAAUUUAAAUGGAGUGAUAAUCUGUGAUCAGUAAUUGAAGCCAAUAAAGAAUAAUUAGCAACAAGAAGUGGGCUUGGUUUGGGAUUAAGUAAUAAUUCUUUUUCAAAAUAAAUUCAAAUAAAUGUAAUAACCCAAUUAUCAUGUAGGGAAAGACAUGAAAAUGAGGUUCAAAAAAUGGGGCUAUAAUAAUGCGAGGUCAAUAACUCUCUAAAAUUAUCGUCAUGAUAUAUUAUCAAUUAGCCAAAUGUAGAGCGCAGCAUGCAUGUGACUCUUAUUAGAGUUUUUUUUUUAAUUAGUCCCAUAAUUAACUGAGAGAUUCCGUGGUCCUGCUUUAAUUUAUUAUUGCUUGGGAAAAUCUAUUAAUUUUAUGUAAUUAUUGGAGUGACAUGCUAUUACCGGAUUACGGCUGUUUCCAAAAAUAUUGGAGCAUUGUUUUCUCCACUUUUUUGAACUUUGCAAUCUAAGGAAAAUAAGAGGACCACAUUUUAUUAUUAUACGAGAAGAAUCGCCUCGAGAGAGAAAAACAAAAGAGAAUGUCUUUUGACAUUUUGAAAUUAAACAAAAGAAAAAAAAAGUUUAAAUAAUGAGAUAUAAAGAAUUAAAUUUAAUUUAAAUCAGCCACAAUUAAUAAAAUGAGUAUUAAGUACCAAAUUUUGAGUCUAAAAACUAAAUAAUUACACUACUUAAGGCAAUCAAAUAAGCCUCUUUUGCUAGUAAAUACCAACAAUCCUUAAGAGUAAUAGUUAAUAGUUAGCCAUGAUUACUAAAAAAAAGAGUAAAUUGGUAAAUAAAAAGUAUUUUCUAAACAUUCAGCCCACUACAUUCAUAAUAAAAGAUGACAAAAUUUUUUUGGUUUGGUUUGGUCAUUCAUAAUAAAAAAUGAGAAAAUCUUUAAAAAUUAAUCAAUAUUUCAAAAAAAUACUGAGAAUUCAGAAAUCAAUACCAAUUUUUUUGGAUGAUUUGGUUUGGUAAUUUAUUAUCUCUAAGAACUUAAAAAUUGGAAGUUUAGAUUUUGGCCCCCUUGAAUUUUCCACUGAGCUCCGCCCCCGCCGAUUACUAUCAAAAGCUGAAGAAUCUUCUAACAGUUUCCCUAGAGAAGAGAGACAGCAAGGUACCAUUAGGCCAUUACAUCAAUGUGCCUUGCUUGUUAAUGGUAGAGCUUUGUGACCCUUCCUGUUUUGUCCAUCUAUUGAACUUUUACGUGUGACUGCACAUGCAAAAUAAAGGCAAAACUCUUCUCUUCUCUGUUCACCUUGCAUAAUGUGUUUAAAAUAGUUAUCUGGUAGUCUUGCACAUUACCCUCAUCAUCAUGUGACAAGAUAGUUUAUCAUAAUAUAAUGUGAACUUGUAACAUAAACUCAAUUUUAAUAAAACACUUAAAAUAUCCGUGAGAGGUCAAUGUUCUUUGAAGGUUUUUUUAUCUUAGGAAAGAUUUUGUUUGUACGUUUAUAUAUAGUAAGUUUUCAAUAGGAAUCUCUAACCAGAUUAAAGAUACAGAUGAACUAAAAUAUUAAAAAUAUAAAUUUCAAUGAAUUAGAGUAUGUAUUUUUUAUAUUUUAACUUGUCUUUAAUUUCACUAUGCUAAAGGAUCCUGAUUGAAAAAUUAUUAUUAUUAUUAUUAUUGUUGUUGUUGUUAUACACACACACGCACAAGGGUUGGACAAGGGUUCAUUCCUCCUCUGUUUGUGUGUGUGUCUCUCUCUCUUAAAUUGGAGGGCUUAUUAAAAAUUUACUAUUUAUUCCAUCACAUUUAAUGUUUUAAAUACUCAAAUUCUUUUCUUUUCUUUUAUAUUAUUUAUUUUAAAUUCUAGAGCUCAUUGUAGUCACAUUUGUGAAAGUAUACUUUUUCUAAUUAAUCUCCACAAAAUAUCUAAAGAAACAAAAUUAUAUGGCUACGAGGAUUUGAACCAAGUCUUCAAAAUUGGUAAAUAGCAUUCUUACCAUUAAAUUACAAGUAUUUUAUUACAUAAAAAAAUGUGCACAAAUUUUUUUAUUUAAUGUUUUCAAAAGGGGUCGUUUGGGACACAUUCAAAAUAAUAAUAAUAAUAAUAAUAAUAAUGGCCCAGGAUUUAUACACCUUAAUUUGCCGCGCAGAUUUUUCAUCAAUUGUUGUUUUCAUUUUUUUUUUCCCUAAAUCUCACAUUCUUGAAAAUGAAGGAGCAAAACUCACACAACAUUGUAGAUGAAGAUGAAGAUAAGGUAUAAAUUAAAUGUAGCAAAUUAUGUUUAAUUCUUGGUUUAUGGUUAUUGUUGACUCUGUAUAUAUGAAAUAUUUACUAGUACAUUAGUAAACAAAAAGAUAAUCCUAAGAUGAUCCUCUCAUGGCUAUUGAGAGCGAGUAAAAUCAGGUGAUUCAAUUUCUCAAUCUUUCUCGACCUUGAAUCCUACUUAUAAAUGCUCAAAAUUUAAGGGACCUAAUUACUGAAACUGUUCACUGACUCUUAUUUAUUUGUUAUUUUUUUUAUCUCUUUUAGUUUUUUCGGAGAAGCUACAAGGAAAAUAAUAGUAUACAAAUCAAACUAAAAUGGAUAUUUGAAUCAUCCUUCUACUAAAGUUAGUGAGUACUGGUUUGUUAUGUAAUGAGAAAUAAAGUUAGUGAAACUAGCAAUCAAUGAAUGAAUACUGAACAUUUGAGAGUAAAAAAUGAAUUAAAAAAUGUGGAAUUAUUUUUGUUUAUCUUUGAAAUUUUUAUUUUAAAUUUUUACGAUCGUUUAUAUAUUUUGAAAUAUUGUAAUAACAUUUCCUACAUAUAUGAAUAAUCAAACGAAUUAGUACCUGGUGUGGGUAAACUUGCAUGUUGUUACUAAUUGGGAUAAUGUCAAUAUGGCUGUUCAUUCUGGUAAAUUCAAUUACCUAUAAUAAUAGGGGAUUGUCUGCCUUCUUUGCCGGCAUGAAAUUAGAAGAUUACCUCAUAGACAAAAUAUUGAGCUGGCAAUUAUUUAACUUGUAUGCAACAGACUUGAAUAUUCUAUCUAUUUGUAAGUAAAUCACAAGAUCAGCUAGCUAGCUAGGUUUCAGGUGGUGAUAAGAAUAUGAUUUAGAUGUUCUGGUUAAAGUUUGUAAACCAUUUACGUCAACAGAUUUUUAGCUAGGCUACUGAGUAAACAAAAUCACAAUAAGCUAAAGUAAUUCAAUUGAAUCCUUUAUUCUUAUCCUCCUAUGAACUCAAAAAGAGAGUAAGUGAUAGGAUGAAUGAACCAUAACUUGUCAAUAAUAAAAAUACAUACAGGGGCGAAGCUAUCAAGAAGGCUAACUCGGGCUGUAGCCCGGGUUAGUUUCUUGAAAAAAAAAAUGAAUUAAUUAUAAAUUUAUUUUUAAAAAAAACUUAUAAUAAAAUAUAAAAAUAUAACGAAUAAUUAUAGUUAAUAUCUAUUUUCUCUAAAUCGAAAAACUCACCCAAAUCUCUAACUAAUUGAUCUAAUUAUCCAAAGUCUAAAUUUCCCAAAACUCAACUGUUCAAGUCAUCAAGUUGCCACCUCAUGAUUGACGGUCAGCCUCUGCUGCACCCGUAUGCUCAUACUGUUUUUGAAUUAGUUAUUAGCUUAUACUUUUGUCAAUUUUUUUGAUAAAAUAAUUAAUAAUUCUCUAAUAUAUUAUUAUCGCACACAAUAUAAUUCAGAUACGAUACUAUAUGAAUUUUUUUUGAAGAAAAUUUCAUCGAUAGUGUUUUUUUUAUUUACAUUGUACUUUUAUAGUUUUAUUAUUAGUUUUUUGCUUGUCUAGUGUAUUUUAAUAAUUUAAUUUGUAUAUAGCUUUUUUUUGAGAAGUAAUUGAAUUUAAAAAAAAUCUAGCCCACCCCAAAAAAUAGUGCUAGCUUCGCCACUGAAUACAUAUUGCAUGGUAACCUUAUUCCCUAUUGAUAAGAAUGAAGUAAUAUUGAUAAAAUAUUCAAAACAAUCGGUUUGAUUGUCUCUAUCUUAGUUAGUGAUUAAGAAAAAUUGAUUGUUAAUCAACAUAAAAAUUGACUGAGUCAAUCUUGGUAAAUCUAUCAUUAUUCUCAAAUUAUAUUAAUUAUAUUAUUUUCCUUUUCAUAUUUCAAAUACUUGUAUAAAUUGAAUUUUUGUGCUCAUGAAUUAACAAGAAUGAAAUAUAUAUUGUUCUUGAAAAGUUCUCACUUAUAGUAAUAUGGUGGAUUCUGUGUACAAAAGGAAGGAGUUAUACUUGUAGCACUAUUUUGCCCAUUAGAAGGUGCAGUGGUAGCAAUCCUCAAAAUCUUUUUUUUUGUUUUCUAAUAACAUUUGAUAUUAUAAUUUCUAUAAUUUUUUACAACCACCAAGUUACUUAUUACAGCAUAGUACAAGGAGGGAUAUCUGUGUGCUUGUUAUUGCUCUAUUAUGUUUGUUUACCUAAACAAAGAAACAAUACUCAAACUUCAAACUCAACUGCAUACUUAGCUUAGGUAAAUUAAUCAAGUCAUGAUGAUUCUUUUCAGCGAAGAAGAUGUAUCAAUCAAGACUUAGAUAUUUCGUAUCAAGCAUAAAUUAUUUUUUAAUUUUAGUUCUAAGAUAUGCUACAUUGGUCCUAUUUAGUUGUUUUUUAUACACAAAUAAAACGAUAAUAAGUUGAUAAUAUAUAACAAUGUCUUAGAUACUAAGUAGCCAUGAUUUUUUUUUUUUAUAACUCUAUAGUGGGCACCCAUUAAAAUGUUGAUUGUUGUACACUCUUUGCUGCUAUAGUAAAUUUGCAGUUAAAAGAUAGAUUAUUUUUUUUUAAUAAAGGAGAUUCUUAUUAUUAUAGGAUACAAUUCAAAGGAAAUUAAAACAAAUUAAAUUUUGUGAAAUUUUUUUUUCUUACAAGACCUUGACCAAUACCAAUAGCAAGGAUUAAAAAUUGAUAUUUAAAUUUGUUAAUAGAGUAAAUUAAAGUAUUUAAACAUUAUCAUUACCACGCGUACACAUGCCAUGUCGGCACUUAGCAAGGUAUGUGAUCACGUCGGAGACCGUUUUUCUUUUUCUUUUUCUUUUUCUGGAGAGAAUGUCAGGGUCAUCAAAUAAAUGUGAUUUCACAAUAAUUUACUUAUUGCAUGCCAAAAAGCAAAUUAAAGUACUAAUACAUUUUUUUUUGGUGAUAAGCAAGUACUAAUAAUUGAUUGAUAAUAUAUAAUGGGAUUGAUAAAAAAGUCUGGACUGGGGCUCGGCUUGCAUCAUAAAGAUACAGACAUUGGUAAAAAAAUUUAAAGAGUUAGAACUAUUGACACCCCUAUGUAAUCUUUAUAAAACUCUUCUCCUAUUUUAAUUAUAUUAAACGACAAAAAAAAUCUAGUUAUACCAUUAUAUUUCUCUUUUCAACUCUUUACACCAUACAACUACAUCAAAGUCUUUUACAAUUUUGAUUUCCUCACAAACAACUUUUUCUUGAGAAAUUUACAAAUUUAUUUUUAAUUUAGAAAAAUAAAUAAUUUUAAAAAAUAAAUAAUAGUUAUUUGAGUCCACUUUAAUUUACAAAACUUUCUAAACUUUCUAAUAAUAAGUUUUCUAAACUUAUUUUUAAUUUACAAAACUUUCUAAACUUAUUUUUAAUUUUAAAAAAUAAAUAAUGGUUAUUUGAGUCCACUUUAAUUCUACUUAAUUCGUACAUGUAUUUGAUUUUUUUUUUAGUAAAAUAUGUAUGAUUUAAUAAUUUAAAAAUUUAUAAAAACAAUAUUUGUAAUUAAAGUUAUUUGGAAAAAACUGAAUUGUUUUUCUUUUUAAAUAAAAAAAUUAAAAAAAAAAUAGAAAAUGAUAUUUUGGGAAUUAAAGUAGGUUUUGGUAUAAAAGGGGUUUGAAAAGAAAAUUACAGGGUGCUAAUAGUCCCACUCAAUUUUAAAAUCGGCUGUAAAUAAGCCUAAUUAAGGGUUCGUAGAAAAAUUCUGAAUUUGGCCCAAACUUUAUGAUUUAUAAAUAAAAAAAAUUAAUUUAUAAUUUAUAUAGUUUAUAACCAUUAUUUAAGAUUGAUUAUAUUAUAUUGCUAGUACUUUGUGUACUGUACUAUUACUUUUUUAGGAUUAGAUAAUCAUUUUUAAUUUAAGUUUUUUUUUUUACUUUUAACUUUAUUAAAUAUUCGUUUAAAAAAUUAAUGAAAAUUUGGGUCAGUCCGUCCAAGUUUGGAGGGCUUUUAGAAGGUCUAAACCUGUUAUCAAUAACAUUUGCUUGAGUUUGAACUUAAGAAAAUGCAGCUCAAGGUCGCAAUUUAUCAUCCCAAAUAUUUAAAGUUAAAAAACGAGGUGAUGUCUUUCCGAGGCCACCUAAUCGCCACAAUUAAAUUGCCUUCUUAGUACUGCCUUCAUUACCUGUUUACCACCAUGUUCGUUUUGGAAUCACUUCACCACUUUGUCUCCACCCAGGUGGUGUUGAUUUUAUGAAUUGAUGUAUAAAUAUAUGCAUAGGGGCGUUUUUUCGUGUUCCUAAAAUACCUUAUAAUACAUGAUACAUCAAAUUCUAAAAUUAUUUCAAUAGAGUAAUUUUAAAAUAAUUUUCUUAUGUUUUGUUAGAACCUCUAUAAAUUAAUAUUCGAUAAAUUAAUAAUCUCUAUUAUAUAAUAAGUUAUUACCGUCUUGUCUUGGGCCAAUGGACUAAAUCAAUAAUUACGAUAAAUUAAUAACAUAAUAUUUUUCUUAAAAAAUCUUAUAAAACUUUGUGGUCUUGUUUAAAUCAUAAAUUAAUAAUUUGCUAAAAUUACAAAUGUAGUUGACUAUAAUAUAUUAAUUAAUAAAAUAUGACUCUAUUGUUACUUGCUUAUAUAAAAUAUGACUUUAUUGUUACUUGUUUUUUUUCCUAAAAUUUAAAUUUAGUUAGAUCUCAUCUCUUAUUUUUCUUAUUGUAUCUAGAAGUUCUAAGAUUGACAUCUCGAAUUGUAAAUUUAUAAUAAGAAAUGAAGUGUUAUCGAUGUAUGUUUAUUGAUUGGUAAAAAACUCUAUAAAUUAAUAAAUUAUUAAUUUAUCGAUUAAUUGAUAAAUUACUAAUUCAUUGAUUAUUUAAUUUCUCUUUUAAUUAAUAGAUUUUAAAUGGUCUUAGUCCUAUUAAUUUAUAGACAUUCUACUAAUAUAUAUCAUUCUAGCCUGCAUGUUAAAUUUUAAAUUUGUUUAUAGGGAAACGUCGCCGAUGAUUAAGGCAAGUUCCGAAGUAUUCAAAACCUUUUAAAUUUAUCAACCAUCCACCCAAAAAUUUGCAUUAUAUAUCAAUUUUUAAUAUUGCCAUUUUAUGUGUGUGCGUGUGUGUGCGUGCACAUGUGUGAAACAACAUCAUAUUAAAUGACUAAAUUAUCCUUAUUACAUAAUAAAAUUUAAAGGUAGUUAAUGACAUAAUGAAAAUUUUAUACAUUCUACAAACUUUGGGUGGAUUGUUGAUAAUUUAAAAAAUAUUUGUAUAUUUUCAAACUUUCAUUAAAUGUUAGCGAGAAAAUUAAUAAUUCCUUUAACAAUAGUUAUUGUCCAAAUAUCCACCGACUACCUAACACUUCGUAUUUUUCAAAAAUACACCAAAACUUUUUUCUUUUGCAGUUUUUUAUCUAAAGUCUACAAAAUGUAUCAAUUUUAUACUUUGCUAUUAGUAUUGUUAGAGGAUUUAAUAGAAUAUUGAUAAAUAAUUAUUUUGUCCUUAAUGUAAAAAAAAAAAAAAAAAAAAACCUAUUGGUUGUUAUUUUGGAUAAUUUUGGAAUGUGUUGUUAUUUUGAAUUGGUAGGAAUAAAUUGUAAACUUUAAGUUCCCUAUAACGAGUUUUAUGUCGUUAUUUUUUUAUUGGUAGGAACACACUAUAAUAUUUGAAGUUUCCUGUAACUGGUUUUAUAGUUAUUUUGACUAUAUUUUGAAUAAUUAUGAUUGUAUUUAUUGGUGAUUUAUUGUUGUUGAAGAUUUGUCAUUGUUGUAAAAAAUAUGUUAUAUAGGAUAAAUUAUAUGAACAUGGAUUCUUGAUUUAUGUUGUAAGUGAGGUAUAAAUUAGUAGGCUUGAUGAGUUAGUCGUUAUUGGUCUCAAUAGCUACAAAAUGAAAUUUGUUUUUUAGUCAUUUAGCAAGAAUUAAAUACGUUUUUACAUUUAGAAGUAAAAUAGUUAUUUUAUCAUUAUUUUGUUAAAUCCUCUAACAGUGUUAAUAAAAAAGUAGAAAAGUGUAUUGUAAACUUUAAGUAGAUAGCUGCAGAACAAAAAAUAUUUAGUAAUUUUUUUAUAAAAUGUGAAACAUUAGAUGGUCGAUAGAUAUUUACCCAUAGUUAUUUGAUAAAUGAACCUUAUGUAAUACCAAACAUUUCGCUAUCUUUGUAGCCGUGCACACACACACACAUAUAUUAUUUCUAAUAUUCUUUUAUUAGUACCUAUCUCUUUAGAUUAAAAAAAAAUUCUCUUUCAAUUUUGAUUAUUUAUCCAUUAUAGUAUCGUAUUAGAUAUUAUAUUUGACUGUUAUUAUUAUAAAUUGCCUUAAAAAUAACUCAUUAUUAUAUUAUUCAUAAUAAUGAUCAUGCAGGUAAUAUUUUAAACAUUAUACAAAUGUCUUAGUUUUUUGUAUGAUAAUGAUAGAAGUAAUGCUUUAUGUAUUAAGAAUUAUAUAAACUUGUGUAAUUUAUGGUUAUUCAGUCAUUAAUUUAAGGAUAAAACUGUAACUCUAAAUAAAAACUUGGGGAAAAUAUCAAAUAUCACCAUUUGGCAACUAAAAGGAAAAAAGACUUUUUACCCUUACGGUUUUGAUGCAAAUACUUAUUUCAUCCUUAUUUUUUAAAAAAUAAUUCAUUUCAAUCCUACCACAAUAGUCUAAAACACUUUCCUGCGAACUUACAAUUAGUUUAUUAUAUAAUUUGUUAAUGACAAAAUAAGAUUUUCAAUUAAAUAGAUGCAAAUCAUUUUAAAAUAAAAAUUUUAAAAAUAAUAAAAUAACAUUUAACUAUUUGCAUAAAUUUAAAAUUUAAGAAUAAUUUAAUGAAAUAAAGAUAGCACUAAAGAAUAUGCUCUAUAUAUGUAGACUAGGAAAUAGAACCACGCUUCACGCGGCUUUGAAAAAAUAAUUUAGUAUUAUCAUUUUUUCUUACUUUAUACUUGAUAAAAUUGAUAAAAAAAUAUGAAUUAUUUUUUUUAAGAUGAGGAGGGUUAUAAAAUUAAUGUUAUUUAUGAAAGUUAAUUAUUUAUUUGUUAAUUUUAAAUAUAUAUAUAUAUAUAUAUAUAUAUAUAUAUAUAUAUAUAUAUAUAUAUAUAUAUAUAUAUUAAUGUGUAUAGUUAAGUGUACGGAUCUUAUACCUAUUGUAGUUGUUGAUAAGUUCCAAAUUAUAUUCAACUUGCUAAUCUGUUAGAACUUUUAUAUCUUUUUUUUCCAACCAGCUCCAACGAUCUCAAUAUCACCCACACCACAUAAACUUCCGACAACAUUUGUAAUAUUAUGGAAAAUAACAUAAACAUGUUAAAACAUAAGGAUCAAUAAUUUCUAAUAUACACUUAAAGAUUAACAAACAUUAAUAAUUAAAAAAAUAUAUCAGAGGAUUGUGUUAUCAUUCACACGUAUAUCAACCAAUAAAAGUUAGAAAUGUUGAAUGCAGUAGAAGUAUCCAAUGCGGUCGUCGGAAACCGGGUGCUUUAAACAAUAAAUAAAUAAAUAAAGCUAUUAGCCAGCAACACAAAUAAAGAAGAAACGCAAGAUAAAGAAUAAAAUGAGAGAAUAUAUUAUAGAGUGAUUUUAUUCAUUCCAAUUGUGUGUGUACAAAACAAAAAGAUGAGCUCUCCUUUUAUAGUUACAUAAUCACUCCAUGAAAUUAAUAAAAAAUUAUGGAUCAUAAUUCCUUGUGAGAUAGUGGGAGUUAUAGGGAAGAUAAAAGUUGUUAAUUGGAGAUAGUGGGGAGACUAAGAGAUAUAUGUUAUGAAUAUCUACAUUUAUUUUAAUAAAUUUAUAACACUCCCCCUUGGAUGUUCAUUGCAAAGAAUAUGCCUCAUUAAAACCUUUACAUAAUUGUUAUUGUAUAAUAACAAUCAAAUUAAUUAUGAGAAGAUGAAAAGAUAAAUCUGAAAAAAAAUUUCUCUAUUUAUUAGGUAAUAAAAAAUAUAUAAAGAUGAGAAAUAGUGAUGCCACAUCACCUCUUAUAAUCCCAGCUUUAUAUAUAUACCUAAUAACCAACAAACGGGAAGUGUUUUUCCUUGUGCGGAUCCUAUUUCAAUGGGAACUUGAUGAGUCGAUCCGCCUACACAUCUUGCUUUUACUGCUAUAUCGGGAGUUACUCCACGUAUUGCUUGACGUAAAACAGACAGUGGAUUUUUUUCUGUCUUUUGUUGAAUCUUUUUCAAGGCUCAAUAGAUAAUUUGAUAAGCCAAUGAUUUUUUUCUCAUAAUUCCUUGUGAGAUAGUGGAAGUUAUAGGAAGCUAAAGGUUACUAAUUGGAGAUAGUGAGGAGACUAAGAGAUAUAUGUUAUGAACAUCCACAUUUAUUUUAAUAAAUUUAUAACACUCCCCCUUGGAUGUUCAUUGCAAAGAAUAUGCUUCAUUAAAACCUUUACAUAAUUGUUAUUGUAUAAUAACAAUCAAAUUAAUUAUGAGAAGAUGAAAAGAUAAAUCUAAAAGAAAAUUUCUCUAUUUAUUAGGUAAUAGAAAAUGUACAAAGAUGAGAAAUAGUGAUGCCACAUCACCUCUUGUAGUCCCAGUUUUAUAUAUAUAUAUAUUGUUGAAUUUAAAUAGAAAGAGGAAAAGAUGUAAUCAUUUAUAAUCUAAUAAUUAUUUUUUUUAAUUUCAACCAAUUUAUUAGAUAAUAGAGAAUAUGAGAAGAUGAGAAAUGAUGAUGCCACAUCACCUCUUGUAGUCCCAACUAUAUAUAUAUAUAUAUAUAUAUAUAUAUAUAUAUAUAUAUAUAUAUAUAGAUAUGUUUGUCUGUGUUUUCAUUAAAUUUUGUAAUGAAGUCUACUAAAUUUUUUUAAUAGAUAUGUAUAUGUAAUAACAAAAACAACAAUAAUAAUUUUUUUUCCAAUUAAGGGUUAAUGACCAUAUUAAAGUCAAGAAUAAAUUAAAAGAUAAAAUAAUACACUCUAAUGCAGAGUAUUUUAUUCUGCAGUAGUAUAUUAAAUUUUUAUUUUUAUGCCUUAUCGUGUGUUUUUUUAAGUAAGUAUAAGAGUCUGUAUUUAUUUUUAAUAAAAUAAUAGUACUAUUUAUUUAUUUAUUUUUAACCAUAUUAAAAUUAAAGACAAGCAAAAAGAUAAAAAGAAAAAGAAAAACUCACUCUAGUGCCCAUAAAAUUUAUAUUUUUUAUUUUUUCCUAAAUAUAUAUCUACAUAGUAUUUAGUAUUAUUAUUGUUAAUUUAUUAAUUAUCCUUAAACUUUAAAUUUAUAUAGAAAAUCACAUGUUAUUUUAUUAUAUUUGAUAAUCUUACUUUAAAAUAGUUUGUAUCUCCUUAACUAAAAAUUUUAUUUUUUCUCAAUGAAUUAUGUAAUAAAUUGAUGAUAAAUUAAUUUAACGGUAUUUUAAGUUAUUGUUUGAAAAAUAAGAUAAAAUCAGUUAUUAUUUAAACAAUAAAGAUGAAAUGGACGGACGAGGGAUAAAAGAAUUUUUUCCUGCCGAAAACUUAAAGCAGAGGAAAAAUAAUAAUAAUAAUAAAGGUCACAAUCCAUUUACACACGUGUACUUUUCUUGAAUAGGCAGUUGUAAACUUUUAGUCACUGUUCAGUGACUUUAUCUUCCCAUUAUAAUUUUAUUUUAUUUCUUAAUUUUUUCCUUCUAUUAGUUCGUCAAAGUUGUACGGACGGAUAUUCCGUUGUAACGAGACUCUGUAUUUUUUCUGGGCAACAAAAAAGAAAAUACUAUCGGAUCUGAGAUGGGUUUUGUUUACUAGAUUUUAUGUGAUCAUUUUUUGCAUGUUACCAAUAUUCUUUGGACAAAAAUAAAUUUAAUCGACUAAGAAUAUAGUUUUUUUUUUUUUUAACUUUAAUGCUCCAAAUUUUUACACUAUGAGGAAGAAGCUCGAUACACGUUUUCCAGCUGUAAGUCUUCUCUUUCUCUCUCUUUUAUUUAAUUAUUCUAGCUUAGUAGCUUAAUUUACUGAUUGAUUGGUUGAUAAUUAGGAUUUCUUGUUUUUUUUGCCCUAAAAGUUAGUUUAUAUAUAUUUUUAAUUUUAUUUUUUGAUAUUUGUGGGAAUAUUUGAUCUGGGUCGGCUUUUCCUCGUAAUUUGAAAUUGGUUUCUUUGCUUGAAUCGAUAUUUACUAGAACUUAGUUGUGGGUUCUCAGUUUUAGGGAUUUACGGGGCAUGGGUGAUGUUUUGACCUAAUUUUGGAUUCUACUGAUUGAUUAUGAUGGUGGUGUGUUGUAAAAAUUUUUUUAUGGGAGGCUCAGUUUCGGGUGACUUAUGUUACAAAAUGACCUGGGUUUUAUCUUGUUUUUUGUUUUAGAUACUUGCAUCGUAGGAUUGUGGCUUCUAAUGAAAUAAAGUUGCUUUUUAUUUUAUGUCUAGGGUAUUAAUGUGGAUCUUUGGUUACAUUUGCACUUCGCCUGUUCAUGAUUGUGUAGGUUAAAAGUCAAUUGAGUGUUACAUAGUUUUUUGGGGAAUUUUUAUGUUGCUUGUGUGUUUGGGGGUCUAUUUAGUGGUUUAGUUCUGAAGCCGGUAGGUGUCACAUUCUUAGGGAUGUCAUGGGGUUUUUAAUUUGCUUUUGUUUCGUGGAAGAUAUCGGUUUUAUCCCAUAACUAUGAUUAACAUGAAAUUAUAUUGGACGUAUGGUUUCCUUGUUGUUAGAGCCUUUUUGCAUACUUGUUUUUGGAGAUGAGAAUAUCUGUAUUUCUCCGUUAGUGCAUCUCUGUUGCCACUCUCUUGUUUAAGGAUAGAAUGACAGAAUUAUGUUAUUAGAGUUCUAUUUUAUGUCAUCAACAUGUACCUUGACUUGGCUUUUUGGUAACAUUUGAUCUGAGGACUUUAGCCUGUUAUGCAUGUAUGGUUCCCCUCCUUUCUACUUUAUAUUUUGCAUGGUGCAUCGUGCCUUAAUUUUCUAUAGAUAGGUCAAUGUUUUCAUCAAACCUUUUGCCUUAUCUUUCUAUAAAUAGGUCAACGUUUACGUCAAACUUUCCACCUGCUUGAGUAGCCUGUAGCUUGAUUAAAUUGAAAAAUUUUGUAUAGCAGAAAUAUUGAAACUUUAUUGCUGCUUUUAAUCUCUGUUUUAUGCUUGGAAUAGGUUGAUCAUUUUAUGAGGUUUGAAGUGGGUUGGAAGUUUCUUGUCAUAUGACUCUAGCCUUGUUGGCUGAGUUGGGAUGUUGCUUUGUAAUAGAAAUCAUUGUGGGAGUCUAUGCAUUUGUGUUAGACAUAGACAUGGCACCUGGGUCUUGUGUCAAUAUUUUGUUAACAUACUUUAUCCUAUUCUAUUUCAGGGCUUUUGUUGUAAGGGAUCAUAUUUAUUUCUUUCAUUUCAUCUACCCUCAUUAAGUUAUUGAGGCUUUUGAGAUUGAGUUAGCACUGACUUUAUAUCAAAUCUGAGACUUAUCAAGAAAUGAUCGAAUCAGGUCUCUACUGAAGAGUUAAAUAUUUGAUAAUGGUCGGUGAUAACAUAGUCAUCUUGAGAAUAUUUGCAAAGCAUAUGGUAUUGACUAGAUGGCAUUGGUCAGUAUGUAGCAAGUUUUGAACUCAGUCUCCAGUGUUGUGCUUGGAGGCUUCAGUUACCAAAUUAGUUCAUGUCAAUUAGAUGUUGAGCUGGAGAUAAUUUUAAUUGAAAACAAUUUUUUGCUAGUAGGCUUUCUGGAAUACAUGUAGAGGCUUGAGUUUCUAGGUUUUGUUUGCUUAGAGGGAGGGAUGACAAUCUUGUCUGCAGAAUAGGCAGCCUUUUUGUUUGCCCUGCUGCUCUCUAAAAUAUCUUUACUGCUGAGAACCUAACCAAGAGGGGGGAGGAUUGUUGAGAACUACUGCUAUAUGUUUUAGUGAAAUAGUGGAAGUUUGUUGAUCAAUUGUUGUUUUCAUUGUGAGAUUGUUUGAAAGAUUUGGACGCAAUCUUUUCUUUGUUUGGCCUGGGAUGGAGUUUUUGUGUUGUGGAGGUUGUUGGCACUGUUAUCUGUGGUGAUAACACAGAAAUGUAGCUUGGAAGACUGCUCCUAUUUGAUAGCUUGGAAGACUGCUCCUAUUUGAUUGAGUUAGUGGUUUGGAAUGAAAGGAGUGGCUGACCUUUGAGAGUAUCUUCAAUCGUUAUCAUGACUUGAAUCUGACUUAUUAGAAGUUUAUUUGGCUCUUUGGAAGGCUUCACUAUUUGGUUCUUUGGCAGCGUCCCCUUUCCUUUGGCCACUUGUAUUGUUGAUUUUCUUAGAAUUUCUCUUUCCUUAAGUUUUCCUUUCCUUGUCGCUCCGCACUCACGAUUUUUAGAGGGCACUGAAAUUGAAAAUUAUCUUUACCUGUCCAUGUUAUUUUUUAUCUGCU